This 52955-nucleotide long non-coding RNA is filed under the name Vitis vinifera (wine grape). RNAcentral's name for it is "long non-coding RNA (VVIN_LNC002008)". The record is from RNAcentral. Lineage: Eukaryota; Viridiplantae; Streptophyta; Magnoliopsida; Vitales; Vitaceae.
AUUUUUCUUAUUUUUACCAUUGUCAUUCUGUUUUCGCUGAGCUUCUGGUGAGCUUUGAUCAGCGGGAGUUCCUUUAUCUUCACCCUGUUGAUUAGCUGCUGAAGAAGGUUGAGCUGCUGUGCCUUCCGGUAGAUGCUGACUUUCUAAGGUGUUGUCAAAAGAAACACCAUGAUCAUCCGAGAUGCUAUAAGGUGUUGUGUCAGCAUCCUUCUUCUGUGAUGGUUGUUGAGGAUUUCUUCCAUUAUCUUCGUACUCAUAAAAAGAAGCAUGACAAAGAAGUUCAUCCAAGAUCUGUGCAGCCCAUACGUGCUUCUCUUUUUUCUGCCGUACCUUCUUUACGGCCUUAAAUCCUUAGUACCAUCAGAUAUAACAACCUUUGAGAAAAUUGAAGUCCUGCAUACUAGACAAUUGAAGUCUAAAGGAUUGGUGUAAAGGAUGGUAUGGAAAGGCUUACCAAAUCCGAGAAUUACUAAUAUUGCCUUGAAUACAAACUUGAUUAUAUUAAAGCAAGUGUGGUAAUUGGAGGGAAUCAGUUGAUGCCCUUGUGACUGCAGUUCUCCUUUCGCCUUCAUGUUUGAUUGGUUUCCUGCACAAAAUAAUUGGAAAAUUCUAUUUGAAUUGUCACAACACAAAAAUUAAAAAGGAAACAUAGAGAUCAUUACAAUCAACCUAUAAUGUGCAGAAACUUAGGCUAUUUUACUAGCGGAAACCAACCCGAAUGGUUCUUUCAGAGAUCUUGUAAUUGUUUUUUAUAUAAAAAAAUGACGCAUUCAAAAGAUAUAGCCCAAAACAAAUUUUACAAACGUGUUGCUGAACAUGUUCCUUCAUUAUUUUCACUUUUCAUGUUUCUGGAAAUGGAAGACAGUAGUAUGCACUUCCUCUAGGAGAUUGGUCCUUUACAUAGCAAAAUUGGAUACAACCAUGUGAGAGCUAGCAGAAAAAUCUAUCCCUUUUUUUGUUGCAUGUUGGCUCAUUUUAAUGUCUCAAAAUAUUCUUUUUCUGAUCUUACAAAGGUUCUGAAGUGACAUUUAAUUUCAAUGUAGGCUGCCCCCCAUGCACAAGACAAUGCUCCAUAAGCUGCUCUGAGUAUACUGUGAUAAUGCAUAUAAGAAUAGCUCAUGCUUUUUUUCUGAAGCCCAUUAAACAUAGAUGCCAGAUAAAGAAGAUGAUUGCUAACCACUGGGAUCCUCCAGAUCAGCUUGCCCACCAGUUCUUGGAUCUUUUCCGGUAUUAGCUGAAAAUGGGAAGUAGCUUAAUGACUACUUUUAGCAUAUAGGGAAGUCGUAACAGAACAUUCAAAAAGCAAGGCAUCAGCUUAAUGCUGCCAAUUCACAGAUCCAUGGAUAUCACCAUGCAAAUAAGCCUAUUGCUAAAGAGUAUUACUACAUGUACAGAGGCUNNNNNNNNNNNNNNNNNNNNNNNNNNNNNNNNNNNNNNNNNNNNNNNNNNNNNNNNNNNNNNNNNNNNNNNNNNNNNNNNNNNNNNNNNNNNNNNNNNNNNNNNNNNNNNNNNNNNNNNNNNNNNNNNNNNNNNNNNNNNNNNNNNNNNNNNNNNNNNNNNNNNNNNNNNNNNNNNNNNNNNNNNNNNNNNNNNNNNNNNNNNNNNNNNNNNNNNNNNNNNNNNNNNNNNNNNNNNNNNNNNNNNNNNNNNNNNNNNNNNNNNNNNNNNNNNNNNNNNNNNNNNNNNNNNNNNNNNNNNNNNNNNNNNNNNNNNNNNNNNNNNNNNNNNNNNNNNNNNNNNNNNNNNNNNNNNNNNNNNNNNNNNNNNNNNNNNNNNNNNNNNNNNNNNNNNNNNNNNNNNNNNNNNNNNNNNNNNNNNNNNNNNNNNNNNNNNNNNNNNNNNNNNNNNNNNNNNNNNNNNNNNNNNNNNNNNNNNNNNNNNNNNNNNNNNNNNNNNNNNNNNNNNNNNNNNNNNNNNNNNNNNNNNNNNNNNNNNNNNNNNNNNNNNNNNNNNNNNNNNNNNNNNNNNNNNNNNNNNNNNNNNNNNNNNNNNNNNNNNNNNNNNNNNNNNNNNNNNNNNNNNNNNNNNNNNNNNNNNNNNNNNNNNNNNNNNNNNNNNNNNNNNNNNNNNNNNNNNNNNNNNNNNNNNNNNNNNNNNNNNGUGUCCCCUGAUUUUGUGAUUUUGGCCAUGUGAACUUCUUCAUUUUCCUUAUAUAUGUUCACAACUUCAUCCCAUUUACCCUGCAUGGCACUUCUGAACAGUUUCUUUUUAAUCACCUCCAUAUUUUGUCUUGUCUCCCGAGUAGAAGCCAUUUUUCCUGUCUUCUUCUUAAAUGUAAACUACUUCUGGGAACUUAAUUUGGAUGGAAAAGAAUGGGGUAAGGAUGAUGAUAUUUAUGCUGUUUAGUAAAGUAUGUUUGGAUUAUAAAAUUCAAAAGAAGUUAGCACGGUAGGACUGAGAUAAUAGGAUUUCUACUUUAUCUUGCAUCGAAAUGGCUAAAGAACAUAUGAUGAAAUAUUCCUAACUGCUAAACCAAGAAACCUUUCUGCUUUAGCCACAAUCCUCUUGAUGUGUCACCCUCAUUUAAAUACAAAAGUCUGCAGUUCACAACCUUUUUUUUUUUUUUACUAUUAAUUGCAUGUUGUUUUUACUCUCCUCUCUCUCUCUCUCCCACAUAUAAAUACAAAAGUAUGCGGUUCACAACCUUUUUUUUUUUACUAUUAAUUGCAUAUUGUUUUUACUCUCUCUCUCCCUCUCUCUCCACACACACACACACACACACAAGUCUAUUAAUUACAUAUUGACCCUUUUUUUACUAUUAAUUGCAUAUUGUUUUUACUCUCUCUCUCUCCACACACACAAGUCUAUUAAUUGCAUAUUGACCUUUUUUUUUACUAUUAAUUGCAUAUUGUUUUUACUCUCUCUCUCCACACACACACACAAGUCUAUUAAUUGCAUAUUGACCUUUUUUUUUACUAUUAAUUGCAUAUUGUUUUUACUCUCUCUCUCUCUCUCUCACCACCCACACACACACACAAAAGUCUAUUAAUUGCAUAUUGUUUUUACUCUCACACACCAACAUUUAAAUACAGAUAAUUGCAUAUUGUUUUUACUCUCUCUCACCCACAUUUAAAUACAAAUGUCUGCAGUUCACAACCUUUUUUUUUACUAUUGCAUUUUAUUUUUUUAACUCGUAUUACUUUUUAGAUUUAGAGCUAGCUAAGAUUUUUACGUACAUUAUUUUUUAUAUUCAUGCACUUGAUUGAUUUUCCCCUUUUAAUUAAACUCAUAAUAUUUCAAAUUUAUUUUCUUCAACAUCAUGACUGCGUGGCCUUUUUCUUUUCCAAAAUGCAUCCUUAUCUCAUUUAAAGUAAGAUAAGAGAAAUAAAAAGAAAGUGAAUGCAACAGAAGCUUUGCAAUGCACAUAGUCAAAAGCAAAUGUCUGGUGCAAUUAAUAAAAUGGUGGAAUAUGUGAAUGGGAAGCAGGGCUUUAGAUUGGCUACCUUUCUUUUCUUUUGAUUUUAUCACCUUCCCUCCCUUUUUCUGGUCAAAGAAAGGGCAGUGUCAUAUUCUUAGACUUGAUUUACAUGAUCUGUUGAAUAUAUAAAUAUUUAUACCUACCUGCACACCAUAGUGAUAGAUAAAGAUAUGACCAUAUCACCAUGCAACUUGGGGGAAUUGGUAAAGUUGAUUAUUAACGCAAGCCCAAUCUUAUUGAAGAAACAAUCAAAUUCAAUUUAAAUUCAACCCAAACUCUAAUAUGAGGUACUCGACCCUAGUCUAACCCAACCUCAUUUUUCUAAAUUCGGUUUAAAUUCGAGUUAGUCAAGUUAAACUCAGAUUGAUCGAGUUAAAUUCAAAUUGGUUGUGUUGAUUAGGUUAUAAGAUUCAAAAUACAUUCAUAGUGGUGUAAAAAAAAAAUCUAUAUAUUUAUAUCAAAAUUUAAAAAUAUAAAUAAUAUAAAAUUUUAAUAUAAUAAUAAAAUAGUAAAAAUAAACUUAUAUAUUUUUUAUUAAAAAUGUAAAAGCACAUAAUAUAAGUAUAAUUUGAUUUUUUUUUUCUUUAAAAUCUAAAAGAAAAAUGAAUAUUAUCAUAUAAGAUAAUAAAAUUAUAAAUAUUAUAAAAAUAUUAAAUCAAAUUCGAGUUAAACUCGAUUUGUUUGAAUAUUGACUCAAACUCAAUCCAAAUUGAGUUUCAAUUGUAAAAACUUAACUCAAUUUCAAUUCGAAUAAUAAAAAUGUUUAUCCAAAUCCAUCCAAGCAUCAGGUCCGACUCAAGUUGGGUAUCAAGUUGGGUUGGGUUAACACUUUGAAAUUGCACACCUAGCUAUGGAGCAAAGAAAACAAACCACAACAAAUAUUGAGAUAUAGGACAAAGGAAAAAAACAACUAGCAACAAAUUUGGAAGUUUAUCUAUCCCCAAAAUACUAAAAACCUCAAUAGCCACACCCAUUAGGGCAUUCCUCAUGAACAUUAACUUAUGGUUCUGAGUCCUCCACGACCUCAAGCUUGACAGGAGCAAUACCAGGCUCAUCAACAAUGGCGUCCAGGUCUCCAGUCUCCCCUUCCAAAUGAGCCAUCAGCAUGGCCACGACAAUCCCACCUACACACUCCAUCAUCGAUGUUUUAUCACCCUUCCCACUCUUGCACAUGGAACCCAUAAUCGCCCCAAUGGAUGUUCCAAUGCAAUUGGUGCAAUAAUCAUCAUCUAACAUGUCCAUGUGACCAUAAUCUGGAAUAACAAAGCCAAGGCAAUUAUCCUUGCACUCGUUGAAAAACUCCGCGUAGUUGAGCCCAUCAGGAGCACAAGAACAUGGUAUGCAGCCGAUGACAGACUCGCCCCCAAGACCCGUACCGAUUACCAUAACCGGGAUAUCCAGAUUGAAGGAAUGAGGGACACCAGUUAGGAUCUUUGGACACAUUUUCAUGCAUUUAUUUGCCCCAGCAACCGGGUCUAUACCUAUUAGGGUUAAGAACUUGAGAUUCAUGGAUACGUUGGCAUUCCCCAGUGCAAGAGCAAAUGCUAGAUAACCCCCUCUGCUAUGGCCCGCAAGGGCGAGCCUGCUUAGGUCUGGAACAACAUUUUCUGGGAGCACAGGUUGAAGGCCUGAGCUUAACCAGUUGGCGACUUCCGCUGCAGAGUUGAUAUCCGGUCGGCCGUACAAAGAACAUAGGCUGAGUAACUAGACAAACCAUCAACCAUUGCAUAAUAUUAGUUGAUUUUGAAAGAAUGUAAAAAUAAAAAUAAAAAAAAUAAGGGAAAAGGGAGUUGGACAGAUACCCUAGGAGCCACAACAAUAUAUCCAUGAGAAGAAAUAUGCUCAAGGAGGUUCGUAUAGCAGCAGGGGCAGAUGUUGUAGCCAUGAAGAAACAGGAGAACUGGGUAUGUUCCUUCAGUGUCUGGUGUUACAAUAAACAAUGUCUUUGGAGCGUUACAAGUUGUUAUGGGUUUCGCUGUGUACUUUCCUCGCUUAAAAGCAUCUGUUGCUGCCGCCGGUGCAGGCCUAGCUUCUAACGCUGCCAUUUCUCUCCCUCUCCCUCUCUCUCGGCAUGUUGAAACACACAGGCGGUCUUAUCCUAUAAUGGGUGGAGGAUCGGCGUUCACCCCCCACAUGGUGAUCCAGUGCCAUAUUUUUCUAUUCUAAAUAAUAAAAAAUAUGUUGAUCGAUAAUAAAGGGUUUUGUCAAAAAUAUACUGAUUCUAAAUACUUAAAAUAGUCAAAAAUAGAUUAUUCUUCAAACAAUAACAUAGAAAAUGUCAAAUUCAAAUGAGAAUUAUUUCAUCCCUUUUAACCAAUUAAUUCUAAUAAAAAAACACGUUUAAACUCCAAUCACCCGAUAUUUCCUUCAUACGCAGCCUUGCGACAUGAGUUUGAAGAAAUAUGCAAUAGAGCUUCAAACUAUAAGAAGUGUAAAACUUAGAACACGCAAAAUAUGUAGUGUUUGUGCUGCAUUCAAUCUGCAUAAUUAAUGGGAUUCAGCAAAACCCCAUUAGUUAUUCUUAUACCUUUAUCUCCAUCUCCAUUUAUAUUUUUUUGAGGUUUUAGCUCAAACUCUUAUGAUUUAACUAAUGUUUGGUUGGCAAAAAAUUUGAGGAAAAAUGUAAAAGAAAAAAAAUAAAGAUAAAAAGUAUUAAAAAAAAUUAAAAAAGUAGAUUUAAAGUCAUAAAUUUUUUUUUAAGUGUUACUUUAAACCCAUUUAACUUACUUUUCCACUUCUACAUGAAGAUAAAAUAAUUUUAAAGUGAAUAAAAUUUUAAUUAAUUUUAAAUAUAUUUUAAUUUAUUUCAUAUUUUUUCAUAAUAAAACUAAACAUAAAAAAAUUAUUUUCAUAGGUAUUUUUUUUCUUUGCUUUGUACUAUUAAGAACUAAACACACCCUCAAUGAACUUGGGGGAAUAUUCUUGGCUAAAAUGUCACCUUAAACUUUAUUUUUAAAAACAUAGCAUCUAUAUUUCAAUUAAAGAUUAAUCUUUGAAAUGGUCCCCACCCAAAAAAAAAAAAACUUUAUUUUUAAAAACAUAGCAUCUAUAUUUCAAUUAAAGAUUAACCUUUGAAAUGGUCCCCCCCACCCCCAAACAAAACUCAGGAAAGUGACCCAAGCCAAGAAUGACAAAUUUUAAUAAAGACAGUUUGGCUGCACUUUGCAAUGAGCUAGGACAGAGUAUUAUUGAUUUUCAUGCAACGAUUCCUAGUGAAAAAAUUAGAGGGGAAAAAAAAAGAUAGAUUUAAAGUGGUUCGAUAGAUUGCCUACGUCCACAGGAAUAGGAAAGAAGACUUUCACUAUAUCUGAAUUAGGGUUACAUAUAUAAAGGGGUAUUUAUACUAACUCUCAAGUAUUGAAAUUUCAAAAAUACUCUUGAACCGUACCAUGAGGGUAUUUGCCCAUUUUUCUCCAUAUGUUUUUCACUCAAUAUGAGUCACAUACUACAAGUAUCUUGGGUUUCAUCUUCAAUGGGUGUGUCCUUUUCUUUCUUUGAACAGAAAGAAUAACAAUAGGUAUAGACAAAAGAAUAUUGCAUGGACGAUAUGGAUCGAUCCUUUCAUAUUUGCAUUCUCUGAUUUCUCUUUCAAAUAUUUUUGCACCUAUAUAUUGGUUAAGCUUCAAGGGGACACAAAGGAUUUGGGUGUCAUUCUCAAAAGAAUUAACAUUUCUUGUCUCUCAUAAAAUUUGUGCUAAAUCCAAGUAAUCAUCUUGGAUUCAAAAAUAAUGGUUAGUUUCUAAGUGAUGUUAGACUCAUAAUGCGAUAAGGAAAGGUUUAGUAAGAGUAGGUUUAAAAGCUUCGAGGGGUUAGCACCUCCCAAUACAACCCUGAGAUGAGAUGAUAAAUAAGUUUGAUGGAUGUCUUACUUUUCAUGGAGCAAGUGUUUAAAUACAAAAAAAUACUCACACAAAUGACCACUAAAAUAGAAACAAACCGACUACGUAAAUGAAUGACCCAUAUCUCAUGCAACUCACUAGCAACUAAAGACUAGGACAAAUAGUUAAAAUGUAAUCAAUGCAUAUCUUCAUCUAUUUAAUUAAUAAAAUAAAAGUUAUAAAAAAAUACUUAAUACAUAUUCUUAAGCCAAAGAGCGGGUUGUCUUUUAUCAUAGACUAACUUACUCUUCGACCAUCCUAAAGCAUUUCGUCUUGAUCAUUUGACCAUCCAUCAAGUGAAACGGUUCCUCACUAAAGAAAACCAAAGUUCCACUCCAAUCAAGGAAAGAGAUAAAUCACAUCUUGGCCAAAUGUCAAUCCUCCUAGUUUGACUAUAUGAUGAAGUUACUUAAUAUAUAUAUAUUAUGUUUUUCAUCGAUUAUUAAUUUAUAUUUUUUUGGGGCCUUCAAAUAUUUUUGAAAAUAUUAUUAUUUUAUGUAUUUAGUGAGUUAUUAACUUAGUAUACUAGUCCAAGUUGGAAUCGAAAAAAUUCAUUAUUUAAAUGAAAUUAUUAAUUUAUGAAGGUUUUACUGUAAUGUUUCAAUCGUACAUAUAGGGAGCAAAGGUUUCACAUUGUUAUGGUUUAUUUGGUUGACUACAAAUAACUCAUCAAUAGAGAGAAUUACCCCCCUAAAGAAAAAUAGUUCUUAGUCUUUUACAAAUCUUUGCUUAUGUCAUUAAUUUGGUAAAUUCUCAUCUCAUCUAUAGAAAAUAUUGUUAAUAAAACAAGCUCAUAGUAUUAUAGCCAAUGAUGAAAAUAUCGGUAAUCACGGAUAUAUCGGUACUUCAAUUUUACGGAUAUAUCGGAGAUAUAUCGACGGAUAUUCUAGAAAAAAAUAUCGAUAGGCUUAAAAUUAUUAAAAACUCAUAGAAAUAUAAGGAAAACCUCAUAAUAAUAUAAUUAAAAGUAUAAUGAACAUUUUAAAGUUGUUUUAUUGAAAAAUUUGAUAUACAUAUGAUAUAAUUUACAAUAUUAUAUGUAAUUAUAUCACGUCGAUCUAUAAGAAAUGUUAAUUUUGUAAUUGUUCUCAUUAUAAAGUCACAUAAAAUACUUUAUUUCAUUAAAUAUCAAUAAUUUGUACACAUUAAAUUCAUUAAAUAAACAUAUUUCAUAUUCAAAAUAUACUAGUUCAUGUUAAUUAAAUUAAUUAAAUAAUUUAGCAUGUUAAUUAAAUUAAUUAAAUAAUUUAGCUAAGUUAACUAGUUUAAUUUAAUUCUAAAUGUGAAAAUAAAUCACAAAUAAUCAUCUAAAAUAAACAUAUCAAUUUAUAAUUAAAUAAUCAAAUUAACCUAAGUUAAUUAAAUAAAAAUAUAAAAAAAUAAUUACAAUUGAAUGUAAAAAUAGCAUUAAAUCAUCCAUAUUGCAAACAUACUAAUUAAUUGAAAAUACAUGAAUUAAUUACAAUUGCAAACAAAAUUAAUUACAAUUUAAAACAAAUAUACCUUAAAAUGAUUAAAUAAUUGAGCAACCUUAAUAAAAAUUGGAGUAAUGAAAGAGAAAAUGAAGAAAGAAAGCAAAAAAUGGAUGAAAUAGAUGAAAUUUGGGUUAUUUAUAGAAGAAAUUUGGGUCAAAAUAGCCGUUAGAACAUUAAUUUUCCGUUGAAAAUCAAUUUUGGCCGUUGGAUCAAAAAUUGGGAGCAAUUUGGCUGUUGGAUCGUCAUAUUACCAUUGGAAUCACAUUUAGGUAGUUGAAUCGCCAUAUUACCAUUGGAAUCACAUUUAGGCAGUCGGAUCAACACAGGCGUAAUCUGGGUCGUCAGAUCACGUUGCAUAAAGGAGGGGAAAUAUCGUCAAAAUAUCGGCGAUAUAUCGAAGAUAAAUCGCCGAUAUUUUGCCACCAGAGGCGAUUUUUUCAAAAAAUCUCCGAUAUAUCUCCCCGAGCCGAUAUAUCGCCGAUAUUUUGGGAAUAUUUGCAUAAAUAUCUCUCCUCCGAUUUUUCUCCACGAAAUAUCGUGUCGACCCCUCCCGAUACACGAUAUAUCGCCGAUAUAUCCUGACAUUUUCCUCCUUGAUUAUAGCAUAAGAUUGUACUUCUACAUGGUAGCAUACUAUUAUUGUCGACAAUUACACUUUAGUCCAUUAAUUUUGAAAAAUUAUACCAACACCCCAUGACCAGCCUGAUAAGAGCAAGACCACCCUUUUGACCAACUAUGACCAUUGACGUAUAUAUAGGUUGAUUGUUAAUUGCCUCCAUUGAAAAUUUAAUGAAAAUCCUUAAAAAACCCUCCAUUACCUUAUUUAAUAUAAAAUGCCUAAAAUACCCCUUAAACCUUAUAUUACAUACCUUACCAUCAAACUAAUAAAAUUUUAUUCCAAAAGAAUUGAAAUUAAAAUUUUGACAAAUAUAAUGAUUAAAUGAAGUUAAUAUUUGGACAAAUAUUAUGAACGUCUUCCUCGAUUCCUCUCCUAUAACAAAAGAAAAAGGAUGUUUGUAGUCAUCUAACUAGCAAACCUAUUUCCAACAUUACCCCACCAACGACAAUUUUCACCAACACACAACUUUAGUGUAUAAAUUUUGAUGGCCCAUAGCCUUAUAAGCUAGAGGAAUUAAUGAAUAAAGGAAAGCCCCAUAUGAAUGUUGACGACCAUUGUGCAUCUUCCCCAUCAACUCAUCAUCAAGUGAAUUUCAAAUGUCAAAGUUUAGUGCUCGGCAAAUUAGGUCCUACUUGAUAACCAUCUUUUAAAAUAGUUUCCUAUUUCUCCAAAAAAAAAUGAAAAAAAUAUAUUUAACAACCAAAAAAACAGGAAACAAUUUUUUUAUUUCUAAAAACAUAAAACAAUUUUCUAUUUCUAAAAUCAGAAAAUAUAAUAUUUUAAAAUAAUACAUUUUAAUUGUUUUAAGUUAUUUUUUCUUUUUUCUUUUUUUAAGAUUUUUUAAAAAUAAUUAUAUAAAUAUAAAGAAUAACUCAAAAUAAAGUAUUAUGGAUAAAACAUAUUUUUAAAAACAAAGAAAAUUAACAAGUUUAAAAUAUUUCAAGAUUUCAAAUAAAAUUUUGAUUUACAAAAUAUGAUAAAAUUAUUUUUCUAAACCGUUUCCAAAAAUACUCCUCAAACAUAGUCUUUCCACACGCCUUCAUAUGUUAUUUGCUCCCAAAGGUAUAUAUACCAAGUACUAGAAUAAUGCAAAUUCCAAUUAAUCAAUGGUGCUUUAGCUGAGUUGGAUGGCAGUGUACUGCCAAGUGAAACCUCCAAAAGUAUUGAUCACAGUACUGAAAGCCAAGAAUCAUUGUACUGCAUUUUUAUUAUCAAUUAAGCAUUGCCAUGUAAGAGAAAAAACAAACAUAAUAAUUGGAAACAAUUAAUGAUCAUCUAUUAAGACCCCAUCAAAAAUGACCCUGGUCUCGAUGUUCUUAUAAUAUGGAACACCUCAUCCCCCAUUCUUAGUCUAACACAAAUGAUGGGUCUUGAGAAUAUUAGAGGUCAUUAGCAAUACAACACAGUUUCGUUUAUUUGAAUCUUUGUUCCCAAAGACGAACCGAAAAAAAAAAAAAAAAAAUCUGCUGUCACACUCCUUAUAGCAUUACAAAGAAUCCAUGAUUUCAUGCUUCUAUGAACUCAACAGGAUCAAGCUUCACAGGAGCCAGAUCAGGUUCGUCAACAAUGGCUUUGAAAUCUCCACUCUGACCUUCCAAAUAAGCCUUCAAGAAUGCAACAAAAAGGCCACCCACACAUCUCCUCAUGGGGUCCCUAGGACCCUUCCCACUCUUGCAGAUAUAACCCGAAAUCGCCCCAAUGCAGCCUGAAAGAUGAUCAUCUAACAUGUCCAAGUGACCAUAUUCAGUAGUCACAAAGUGGGAACAAGGAGGUUUACACUCACUGAAAAACUCUACAUGGUUCACUCCAUCUGGGGCACAUGGACAUGUUAGGCAGUUCCUUGGCUCAUCGCCCAACCCCGUGCCGAUUACGCAAACUGGGAUUGCUAGAUUGAAGGAAUGAGGAACAUAGGUUAGGAUUUUGGGAACUGUUUGGCAACAUUUACUCAACCCACCAACAGGGUCUAGUCCUAGUAGGGCUGAGAAGUUGAGGGAUGUAUCAGCAUACCCUAGUGCCAGAGCAAAUGCUGUCUUUCCCCCUCUGCUGUGGCCUGAAAGAGCAAGCUUGAGUAGGUCUGGUUUCACAUUUUCUGGGAGCACAGAUUGAAGGCCUGAGGAUAGCCAAUUUGUGACUGCUGCUGCUGAUUUGAUCUCUUGAAUUCCAGAAGGAGGUAAUAGUCCGUAUAACUAUAUAGAAAACCAUUUCACAGUACUGCAUGUCAGAGAUUGGAGAUUAAUAGAAAAUGUGUUUGUGCAUGCGGUUAUUAAUUGAAAGUUCUCCCAAAAGCCUUGCAAUCUUUCGGAUGAACUUGAUUAAAAAUAUUAAAUCAAGUUCGGGUUGGGUUCAAUUUCCUAAACUUUGGUCCAGAAUAGUUCAAAUUGAGUUCAAGAUUGAAAAACCCUAAUAUAAGAUCAACCUAGAUGUCAAAAUGAUUACCAAAGCUCAUCUAAACAUUGGGUUAGGUUGGAUUUCUUUCGGGUCAACCUGUUAAACAGGUUGCACCUCUAUUAUUAUGUCAAUAUAUAAAUAUAUUGAACUAAUUUGGAUUGCAAUACUUCAAUUACAAAGAUCAUUACCUUUAAUUUUAUAAUUAUAUAUGGAGAUGACAAUAUGACAGGUUUUUUUUAGUACCAAUCUCACCACCCCCUUAGUGGAACAUGUUUAAAAUUUAAAUAAAUGGAUUUGAGAUAGAUUUAGAAUUUUUUUAAAACCCGAGACAAGCUCAAAAUGGAUUUAGGUAUUGUCUAAUCUUAUCUCGUUCCAUCACAUUCAAAAUAAAAUAAGUUAUAAAAAAUUAUAUUAUUUUUAUUAUUUAUAAAAUAUAUUUAUUUUAAUAUAAUUAAAAUAAAUAAUUUUUUUCAAAAAAAAGUUAAAUAGUUGGGCAAGGCGAGUAUGGUAAAUUCGUAUGUACACCCUACCCGUUUAACUUUUUUAAUAGGAUGGAGAUGGAAACUAUUUUGGAUAAACAUAACUCAGCCUGAACCUGAAACCAUCCUCUUAUAAUCUCCAACUAUAUAUUAAGUACAAUUAAAUGGGAAACGAGUAGAAGAAGAAAAAGAAAAAUAGGGGGAGUAGGAUAGUUAACAGGGAAGAGAGGUUGAGAAAGCACCUGAGGAGCCACCACUAUGAAUCCAUGGGAAGAAAUGAGUUGAAGGAGCUGAGUGUAGAAAGUGUUGCGGAGCUCGAAGCCAUGAAGAAACAAGAGAACUGGGUAUGUCCCUUGAAUGGUUGGUGUAACAAUCAACAAUGGCUUGGGAGGGGAAGCGAUGUUUGAAGUCUCCACUCGAAUGCAACUCACGCUCAAAUUUCCUGGCUCAAAAACACUGGUUGUUGUCUUCAAAUCAAGCUUGAUUCCCUGCGUUGAAGGAUUACCUCCUAAUAGUGCCAUUGCCCCCUUUUAGAGUGUGUGGAAAUCAAGGUAUAGAUCUCUCAUUUUAUAAUUGGAGAGAAUGAUGAAUUGCAGCCAUUGGGCAGCUAUGCAGCUGGGCCCUAGAGGAAGAGUCCCCGACUCCAAAUAAUUGUAGCAGCCUUCUAGUCAAUCAAUACUAGUCAAGUAACCAACUAACAAAAAGAUAUUUCAAACAAAUUUCAUUUAACUAUUAGACUUAAAACUUAAAUAAUUCAAAAAUACAUAAAUUUUUAACUAAUUUUAAUUAUAUUUUAUUUUAUUUCAUAUUUUUUAUAAUACAAUUAAAUAUAAGAAAUUCAUUUUUCUUAAUUUUUUUUUUUUAGUAUUUUAAGGUCUGGUAAAAAAAAUUUAAAGGCUAACUAAAAUAAUUUUAAAAACUAUUUUUAAAUUUUCAAAUAGGGGUUUGUUUUAUAAAAUAUAAAAAAAAAAACAAUUACGACAACAAAACCUAAUAGGAUACAACCCCACUUGCUUUUCUCACGAUUUUAGCAAGACGAAGAAAACAAAAUGAUCAGUGGUUGAAUCUUUGUCCGUACAUGGCUGCUUUAUCAUCAGCCGCCCUAUGGUUUGUAGUGAUAAAUUGAUAACAUGCGGUUUGUGUACACGGCUUUAGCAAGAAAAAGGAGGAAAAUUCCACGUGGAAGCUCAUUUUUAGCCAGAAAGUCAAGCGACGAGGUUGCCUCCAUUAAUUGUCGCCCUCGCGUUUGGUAUUUCAAGAUUAGGUACGGAUGAUCUUAUCCAACGAUUCCAACCCUCCUCCCUUUAUUUAAAAUAAUUUUUAUUCAUAUUUAAUCGAAAAAAUUAAAUAGUACCCAUCCUUUAACUUUUUUCUGAAAAUUUUUUAAAUUUUUUCAAAAAAAUUUAUUUUUAAAAUUUUUUAAUUACAUUAAAAUAAUUAAAAUAUUAUAAAUUUUUAUUAUUUUUUUAUUGAAAAGCACUUAUUAUUAUUAUUAUUAUUAUAUUAUAUUAAAAAUAAGAAAAUACAAAUUAAAUUAAAUUAAUUUUUAAAAUCAAUUAUUUGUCAUCCCUGUUAAGCUCAAUAUGGAGUUGAUGAGUGUACUUAAUUGUAUACCAUAUUGUGGACCCCGUAUUUCGAUUCAUGCAUUUCCCACUCGAUGGCGAGGUCGAUUUUUUGUUCAUGAGCUAAUCUCACAAAUCCCGUGUUUUUGAAUUACGAAUGAAUCACUAUUGCUUAUGUAAAAUCAAGAAGAUAAGAAGAUUAUUUAGGAACUGAAAUGUGAUUAAAAACUAUUCGAGUGAAAACUGGAUUAUCGGAGCUUAUUUGAAAAUUGGAGUAUUUGGAAUUAAAUUUUGAAGAUUAGAGCUCCGGUGAUUAAAUCGAAAUUUGUUAAAGAAAAUGAGAAACGGACUUUAGGAAAUUGAACUGCGAGACCAUAGACUUUUGAAAGUUGAAUUUAUAAUAAUGAUAGUAAUAAGGUCUUGAGAGUUUGAAUUAAUAAUAAUAAUAAUAAUAAGAUUUCGAAAGACUGAAUUAAUGAUAAUAAUAAUAAUAAUAAUAUUUUGAAAGUGUGAAUUAAUAAUAAUAAUAAUAAGAUUUUGAGGAUCGAAUUAAUAAUAAUAAUAAUAAUAGUAAUAAUAAUAAUAAGAUUUUAAAAGUUGAAUUAAUGAUAAUAAUAAUAAUAACAUUUUGAGAGUUGGGUUAAUAAUAAUAAUAGUAGAAUUUUGAAAGUUGAAUUAAUAAUAAUGAUAAUAAAAAGAUUUUGAAAGUGUGAAUUAAUAAUAAUAAUAAUGAGAUUUUGAGAGUUUAGAUUAAUGAUAAUAAUAAUAAUAAUAAUAAAUAGAUGUUGAAAGUGUGAAAUAAUAAUAAUGAUAAUAAUGAGAUUUUGAAAGUUGGGUUAAUCAUAAUAAUAGUAAUGAGAUUUUUGAAAGUUGGGUUAAUAAUAAUAAUAAUAGGACUUUGAAAGUUUGGAUUAAUGAUAAUAAUAAUAAUAAUAAAUAGAUGUUGAAAGUGUGAAUUAAUAAUAAUGAUAAUAAUGAGAUUUUGAAAGUGUGAAUUAAUAAUAAUAAUAAUGAGAUUUUGAGAGUUUAGAUUAAUGAUAAUAAUAAUAAUAAUAAUAAAUAGAUGUUGAAAGUGUGAAAUAAUAAUAAUGAUAAUAAUGAGAUUUUGAAAGUUGGGUUAAUCAUAAUAAUAGUAAUGAGAUUUUUGAAAGUUGGGUUAAUAAUAAUAAUAAUAGGACUUUGAAAGUUUGGAUUAAUGAUAAUAAUAAUAAUAAUAAAUAGAUGUUGAAAGUGUGAAUUAAUAAUAAUGAUAAUAAUGAGAUUUUGAAAGUUGGGUUAAUAAUAAUAAUAGUAAUGAGAUUUUUGAAAGUUGGGUUAAUAAUAAUAAUAAUAGGACUUUGAGAGUUUGGAUUAAUGAUAAUAAUAAUAAUAAUAAAUAGAUUUCGAAAGUUGAGGUAAUAAUAAUAAUAAUAAUGAGAUUUUUGAAAGUUUGGAUUAAUGAUGAUAAUAAUAAUAAUAAAUAGAUGUUGAUAGUGUGAAUUAAUAAUAAUGAUAAUAAUGAGAUUUUAGAAGUUGGGUUAGUAAUAAUAAUAGUAAUGAGAUUUUUGAAAGUUGGGUUAGUAAUAAUAAUAAUAGGAUUUUGAAAGUUUGGAUUAAUGAUAAUAAUAAUAAUAAUAAAUAGAUUUUGAAAGUUGAGGUAAUAAUAAUAAUAAUAAUGAGAUUUUUGAAAGUUUGGAUUAAUGAUGAUAAUAAUAAUAAUAAAUAGAUGUUGAAAGUGUGAAUUAAUAAUAAUGAUAAUAAUGAGAUUUUGAAAGUUGGGUUAGUAAUAAUAAUAGUAAUGAGAUUUUUGAAAGUUGGGUUAGUAAUAAUAAUAAUAGGAUUUUGAAAGUUUGGAUUAAUGAUAAUAAUAAUAAUAAUAAAUAGAUGUUGAAAGUGUGAAUUAAUAAUAAUGAUAAUAAUGAGAUUUUGAAAGUUUGGAUUAAUAAUAAUAAUAAUAAUGAUAAGAAUAAUAAUAAUGACAAGAAUGAUGAUAAUAACAAUAGUAAUAAUAGUAACAAUGAUAAUAAUAAUUAAUAAUAAUAAUAACAACAAUGAUAAUAAUAAUUAAUAAUAAUAAUAAUAAUAGUAACAAUAAUAAUAACAAUAAUAAUAAUAACAAUGAUAAUAAUAAACAACAAUAAUAAUAACAAUGAUAAUAAUAAACAAUAAUAAUAAUAAUAAUAAUAAUAACAGUAAUAAUGAUAAUAAUUAAUAAUAAUAAUAAUAAAUGAUAAUAUGCAUCCAUCAAGCCCAUAAGCCUAAACCCACUAAUAAGCCCCAUCUUCGUCAAACCCAAGUUCACCAAGUCCAUCAGCAACCUUAAUAAAGCCCAAACCUAAUCAAGCCCAAGUUCAUCAGCAACCCUCAAGCCCAAACCUAGUUAAGCCCAAAAAAACAAAACUUCAUCUUCUCCACAGCUCCUCCCGCCUGGAAAUCACCCUCCGAGGGAGCUCCUACCGCCGGCGGCACCAAGAGACGUUGCCGCCGUCGCCGACGACUGGCACGGCUGUCCACCUGGCCGGAGCGGGUCAAAACGCACCAUGCCUGCGUCAGAGAAGGAGCUGCUAGCGGUCCGAGGGUGUGAUUGCUGCCAGCUUGGUCGAUGGAGGGAGAAAUAGCGGCGACGGUCCGGCGACGUCUAGAAGACGCUACCGCUGUCGCUGAUGACCGGCGCAGCUGUCCACGCGGUCGGAGCAAUGGUAAAUUUGAGAUAAUAAGGUAAAACAGCUUUUCUUUAUCAAGGAAACCUAUUAAGGAUGAUGAAUAUGUUCCUCGUAUAAAUAUGUAUAUAGACACACACUUGGGAACCAUUUAUCACAAAGAAGUCUACUAUAUUUUACUUGAUAGUUUGAUCUGAUAAAUAUUUUGGACCACUUAGCCAUACAUCUUCUUGACUUGUGCAGUAACUUGAAGCUAAUUGAAUAUUUGAGUCUCCUUCAACAUAUCACAUACCUGGUACUUUAAUUAUCUUCCAGAAACUCAUACAAGUUCCAUAGUUGUCUGGAUACCAGGGUUUCUUGUCAUCAGAAGUUCUGUUGAAAUGAUUGUAGCCCUCAUUUUUCUCCAGCUUCUCGACAAUUAGACCUUUCAAAUUAAAUAACAACGUGACUAAACGUUUCAGCACAUUAAAGUUAAUACAAAUGCAAGAUUAGCACCAUUCUUAAUUUGUGGCAGCAGAAUCCUCCGUUUGGAUUAAAACAGAUUCUGACCAGCCACCAUUCAGCCCUCAUUAUCUUAACUUGGGAUGUCUUACAUUGAUAAAUGAUAUUGCUGAUCCAGCUGAGGUGAGUACCACUUUUGAAUGCACUGGGCUUACCAGCCAGGAGAUGCAGUGGAGUAAACCCUUCCUCAUCAACAGAACUAACAAAAUCUUCAUACAGAUAUAUUAUUUGGAAUGCUAAAUCUGUCAAGAACGACCACAAAAGAAUCAAAAUGCAUAUAAAUCAUGGAGCAAGUAAAAAUAUAAGACAUAGUAGCUGAAGCAAUGAUUUUAAUGAAAUAAGCCAUUUAUUAUGUGCUAAUGAACAUGUGCACAUGCAUAUGUGAAUGCAUCCCUCUAAUGCAGACCAAAACUUCCUGAAAAAAGCUUACCUAAGAAUUCUCCAAAUAUGGCACAGUGAAGAAUAGUUUUGCCAUCGGCCCUUCGACUGUACUCAUACUGUUUGGUCCUGUCACAUAUUUUGUGAAGGCAGAGGAAAGCAUCUUUCCUACCAUGAAGGACAGCUGAGAAGACGGGCGUUUCAUUUUCAUGGUUGCGGACACCAACCAGUUUCGGAUGCUUACCAGCCAAACACUUGCAUAUGGGAACAUUUCCCAUUGAUGCAGCUAAAUGGAGAGGGGUGUUCCCUUGCUCAUUUCUCAUCUCCAGAGCAUCCAGAUCUGUUUCUCUGAUCAACUCAACUAGUUCCUCAACUAUACUUUCUUUGCCUUCUGAAACCGCAACAUGCAAUGCAGUGUCUCCAGAUACAACGAUCUCAGCCUUGUGAGCCCUUGGCUGUUGCCUGCAUAUGUUGACAACUUCAUUCCAUUUGCCUUGCAUGGCAUAAUUGAACAAGUUUUUCUUAAUGGUAUGCAGAUCUGCAUCCUCAAUUGUAAAUUCCAUAGUGCUCUUGGAACAACUACUAGAUAGUACUCCUAUUGGGAUGGUUAGAUAUAUAUGGGGAACCAGAAGAUUCUCUGAGAGGUUUAAGCGUAUGGCCUAAUAAAGCUCCAUACCUUGCUCCAGAUUUGGGAUAAGAACAAGCAUGUACCCCAGAGAAGAUAGACACAAUAAGAAAGCAUUAGAACUCAUGUAAAUGUUGGAUGCCUCUAGUCAACUUUUGUGUUACUUGCAUUACAAAGUAGUUAACAUUUGAAUUCUUUCUUUCGUGUUAGAGAAUUAUUUAAUGAAUUCUCCUCUAGAUUUUUCUUAAUUCUAUACUUGUGGGCAAACUAUUCUAUGCUAAAUAUUGUAAAAGGGCUUUGAUAUCACCCUUAUGAGAAAGUCACUUAUUUUAACUAAUUUUAUUUGAUUAAUUUUCUGGAGUCAAAAGGGAGAUCAGUUUUGUCAUGUAGAAUACAAGCAGAAGAAAAAAGACAAAAGUAAAAGGCAAAUGCACAAACAAGCAAAAAAAGAAUAUGACUUAUUGUCGAAGAUUCUGAAACACACCUACCUCUCAGUAAGCAUGAUUUUCAGUCCUCUUUGAACAAUCUGUCUUUAUGUUUGUGCUACAACAAAAUUCUAGUUAGUUUAUUUUCUUCUUUAGAAAUCCAGAUGAAAAUUUGAACUACCUGACUUAAUAUUAUGUGUAUUAUCAACAAAUUUGAGAAGAUAAUUUUUUUCCCCAAAAUAAAAUGGCCUUGCUUGCAUGUUGAAAGCAACUGAUUUUCCUUUUAUUUGCGAGUGUGAACUUAUAUAACACGAGUUAUUUCUUUGGUUCUUCUAACAAUAUCAGAAAUCUGAUAAAUAUUUGAAUUCAAGGAUUUAAUUUGAUUAAUAUUAUUUUUUAUCAUUUUUUUUUUAGUAACAAGAAAAGGAAAAAAACUAAGGUUAAUUUGAUGCUAUGUUGUGUGAGAAAAGAAAAAGAAGAGAAAAAGAAAGAAAAGUCUUGUGCUUCACAAUAAAUUUGGUCUUGCACAGCAAAAGCAAGCAUAUUUAAAGUGCCAUGUAAUAAAUGGUUUCUCUGCAAGGAAAAGGAGUGAGAGAAGCAAAAGAGAUUAUGUCUGACCAUUUAUAUAUAUAUAUAUAUAUGUUCAUGUGCUCAAAAAAAAAAAAAAUUAAAUAGAAAUUCAUUAUUCAAAACCAGACUCCAUCACCAUGAUUUAAACAAAAUAAUCACCCAAACUAAAUUGAUAUAAGAUGAUCAAAGUAUAUCGGAAUUGUGUGCAUGAUGCCGUUUUGCAUAUUUUGAGCUCAUACUGUUUUUGGAUGUGGACAAAAAUAAAAAUAGGAGCAUCCAAAUUUACUAGUUACUGUUAACUAGUAAGUUAAUGUAUUAAGCCUACAUUGACACAUGCAAUUCUUGCAUUACUAGCUAGUUCAGGGUUGUAAAUGUUGUAUGAUUAUUUAAGACUUCAUGGUCUUAGCCUUGAUCAUCCGAAUGUUUGCAAUAAGAUGACUUGACCAUUCCACAACACACCACCCUUUCCUGGGCUUCAACAGGGACUUAAGACACACCCAUCAGGGCUUAUUCCUAAGCCACCAAUUGUCAUAGUGGUAUUAUUGAAUACCUAAUGGAAUUGAUAGAUCAAUAAAAUCUAUCAGAAUUUUUGCAAUGAAUAAUUGUUUUACUAACAAGACAAAGGCAUGAGAUCCAGGCUAGAGAGUUUAUAAGCAAGAUAACCAAUUAACACAAGCCCCAAAAGGAGGGGAGAAAAACAACUGCAAUUAUUUACAUUUCAACCACUAACCAUAGAUAGUACGCUGUGGCACUUUCUUAAAGAUGGCCCAUAUGAGAUCAAAGUAGAAGGGAAACUGUGCCACCGCAAAAAAUGUUACUGGGAGGCACGCCACUGCAUACACGGGGAAUGCAGUUUGUUUCAGUACAUUUUUUAGUAGGAAAAAGUGCCCUGCACAGAAGCAAACCAACAUAGCUCCUAUGGAUAUAAAGAGAGAUGUUAAACCUAGCAAUAGCUUUCGCGGCAACCCUCUACCAAAAUCUUUCACUUGGUAUCUAGAUGUUAGAAUUGCCAGAAAAGUGACCACAGAGGUGACUGAAAAGGAUAGAGCAAUGAGGGAUGAAAUUGCAUAGACCAGAAAUCCCGGAUGGUGUUCAAGGGUAGGUUCGCUGCUAUUUUCCUUGAAGCCUCCUGGUAUAGUGGCUGUUGUGGCGAAGGCUACGGUUGUAACAAGUGUUGCUACUACUGAACAUGAAUUUGAGGUGUUGCUUAGCCAUUUGCCUCCUUCUCUUACAAGUUCUUUGUGUGAUUCUGUGAAGAUCUCCUUGGGGACCUGGUUCUUGUUGUUGUAGCGAAUGAAGAAAUGUCUUGGUACAGAAUUCUUCACGUACUGCGCUAUUAAACCCAUGUAUCAGGGCUAAUAUAUAAUAGUCUGCUUACCAAGUUAGAACUUUACGAUAUGCUUUCCAAAGAAUAAUGCUAAUUCAUAGAAAAUUAACAACCCCAUAUAGAGAUGUUCAUGAUUUUGUACAGUCGAGAAAGAAUUUUCCAUGAGGAGAACUAAUUCAAUUGUUGAUGCAUUAUCUUCUGAAAAAAAAAAAAAAACAACCAAAAAUACAUAAAUAAGUCUGGGUGGCAUACCUUAUACCAUUUGAUCUCCCAUUGCAUUUGCAAAGCUGCAAAGGGAUAUGGCCUAUAAUCUCCUAAAGUUGCUGCAAGAUGUAAUGCACUGUUCCCCUCACUAUCAACCAUACGAAAUGCACUUUCUUCCAGAGGUUUCCGAUUGAGUAAUAGCUCAUAAACACUGGUUUGUCUAUUCUUCACUGCCAACAGCACUAUAUUCUUCUGGUCUGAAUCUACAUGGCGAAUGGCUGCUGGAAAAAGUUUAAGGAUCUUCUCCACCAUUUCUAUGAUGCCAUUCUCUGCUGCAAUUAAUACUGGUGACUUCCUUUUUCCCAUCCCCCAAGUUCUCUUCAAUGCUGACAAGAUUCAAUAUCUCAAGGUUCAAUUCUUGAGCCAAAGUGGCCAAUGUUCUGCUGUUACAAUAAGUAUCUUUGUUUUUCUACUUCAAAUAUAUCUUCCUCUUCGUCAGUGAUACUGAAAGUAAAAGUUGGUAUUUUCUUUUUUUGGACGUCUGUGCAUUAGUAACUUGCUAAAUAUAUUGAUUACAUCACAAAUAUAUGAUAAUAGGUUUUUCAGUUCAAUCCACCAAUUGCAGGGGCAGUAGGUGAUUUAAGCAAGGGAAGUUAAGCUGUAUCUUUCAUAAUUAUAUACCUUAUAUAGAUAGUACAUAUGCUGCUAACUGCAUAUACAUUUGGCUUUAUUAAGUUAUAAUUUGGACUUUCAUAGUAGGCAAUGUGAGAAAAUUACCUUCUUCCUUCUGUUUAAUUUCUGAAGAAUGAUGUGCAGAAGCCUUCGGCCUUGGCUCUUCCUCAGACUCACUAUCAUCAAGGCUUGCUUCUCCAUAAUAUGCCAAGAGUGAUGUUUCCUGAUCAAAAACUUUUUUAUAACGUUUUCCUGGUACCAUCCAAUGUGAUGUUGGGUCAAUUUGAUCAUAAGGUACUGUUUCUCCAGAUCUCGGUUGUGAGAGCUGGGGAAUACUUCCACUAUCAUAUUCGAAAGGUUCAACAUAUUUAAGCAUUCAUCCAUGAUUUGAACAGACCAUGUGUGCUUUUCUUUCUUCUCUUUUAUCUUAUUUAUAUGUCUUGAUCCUGUCCACCACAAUCAAACACAACAUACAUUGAACCAAUAUUAGCACUUUGGAUAUGAACAGAAUAUGUGUAUAUCAUUCUAGUGUCUAAAUAUAUAUAUAUGGUGAUCAUACCAACUAUAACAGCCGGCAAUGUCCAUGCUUUAGCUACAAGCUUGAUGAAGUUCUCAUAGCAAAUGCCAUAAUAAUUUGGAUGAGGCCGCUCUUGUCUUCGAGCGUUAUGGCUUGAUUGUUUACCUGUAAAUUAAAAAGAGGUUUGGAGUAUUCUCUAGUUUAUUUUCAGAGCAAUACUCUUACACUAGUAUUCAUUUGGGAUCUACGUAGCACACAAAUUGAGAACCCAAAAAAUAAAUAAGUAAAUAAAGGUUCUCAAAAGAAAACAUUUAUGGACUAAUUAAACUUGGUUGAUUAGGGAUACAAGCAAGAAAUUUAUUGGAAGAUAUAUCUCAAGCUCAAUAAAUUAAUGAUUUAAUUUGUACUCAAUAAAUUAAUGGUUCUAAAAAAAAGUGCUCAAUCAAUUAAACCAGAUUGUCUAAAAUUGAACUUUUCAUCCUAAUUUGCUCUUGAGCUGAAUUCAAGAAGGUUCUGGAUUUACUUAUUAGCCCAAUGCAAAUUCAUGAGUAACUAUCUGGUCAAAGUCUCAUAUGCAUAACUAAAAUGAUGAAUUAAUAUGGGAAUCACUUAACCCACCUGAUGCUUUGAUCAUGUUCCAUAAGUUGGUUAAUAUAUAGAAAUUCUCUGUAUGGUUAGGGUUCUCGUCAGCUUCAUAUUUCUGUGGAAGGAGCUUUUUGACAGGCACACCUUGCAAAAUAACAUUGCAAUGAAACAUUUUCACAUAGUAAACUAAUACAUGAUUGCCCCAAAAUUAUCCUACAAAAACCUUCAUUGAAAAAUAGAUAUGGGAUUCUCAAUCGCUUCAAGGCAAGUGAUUUAUGGAUGUGCUUCUCUCACGCACACCCUAGGCUAGAUUUGUGAAUAAAAACUGUUAUUAUAAUAUAGUUUAGAUUAUUAUAUAAAUUACAGGUACAUAAUGACUUAGGAUAAUGGGGUAGAUGACUUUAAACAACAAAUAUCAAACAUAGAGCAUGAAGGUAGAUCUGCAUCAGGCAUUGAUCGGCUGGCUGUCGUCACUGGCCCUGAAAAUUAGAUAUCAAAACCUGUGGGCAGACCUAGGUUCCAAUUCAGCGACUCCUAUGUCACAACUUUACAAGUUUAUUGGAAAUCCUUUAGUCAGUGGAAGGAUACUUACAAAGAUAAAUGAUUUCAUCGAACCAAUUCAGUCGAGUUCCGCUUCUGAAUAAAGUAGCCUUAGAAGCAAGGAGGUGGAGAGGGGAGAUUCCUCUCUCAUCGACAUAAUUGACGAGGUCAGGAUACUCAUGAAUAAUUGUAAAUGCCAAAUCUAUCAUGCACAACAUUGAAAAUGUUAUAUAAAUAAAAGCAUGAGCCUUUAUAUAUAUAUAUCAAUUGGUCAAUUCUGCUGAGAUGAUAACAUUAUAACAAAUGUAUAGAACACAAAUGAAAAUAUGUUACCCUAAGUUAUAAGGCAUGAAGCAAAUAAAUUAUCUAUUCCUAUAGAUGUUCAGAUGAAUAAAUAGAAAACAAUAAAUGGGGCCUGAAAGCAUUGCUCACCGAAGUAUUCUCCGGUGAUGGCACAGUGAAGACUAUUUUCUCCAUCACUCCUCCGAAGGUACUCAUGCACUUUGUUGUUAGCAGUACUGCUACAUAUGUUAGAGAGGCAAAGGAAAGCGUCUUUCAUGCCAUGGAGAGCUGCUAAGAAGAGAGGGGUCUCAUUUUCAUUGUUGCGAACACCCACCAGUUCUGGAUACUCAGCAGCUAUGCACUUGCACAUGCGAACGUUGCCUACUGACGCCGCCAAAUGGAGAGGGGUGUUCCCCCGAUCAUUUUUUAUAUUAAUCAGAUACACGUUGCGAUGGGCCAUCAGUUGGACUAGUUUUACCACUACAUCUUCUCUGCCAUCUGAUACUGCUAUAUGCAAUGCCGUGUCCCCUGAUGUAGCGGUCUUCUCAUCAUGAGCCCACGGAUCUUCCUUGCAUAUAUCUACAACUUUUUCCCAUUUCCCUUGCAUGGCAUAUGAAAUCAAGCUUGGUCCAGUGGCCCCUUGUUCUGUGUCCACGACAAAUGCCAUUCUUCCUCUUCUUAGAACAACUACUACUGUUCUAUUGCUGAAGGUACCAAGGAUGAUUAUUGUAUAUGUAGAGCAAACAAGCUGUCCCAACUGUGGCAAGCCACCAUAAACUGAAAGUGAUACCUUGCUCUGGAUUCGGGAUGAGCACAAUUUUAUGGACCCCAAAAAGAGAACAUCCAUGUUUCAUUAUCCUCUUAACUAUCAUAUUUUAAAAUUUUAUUUAGAAAAUUUGGAAAAAUAAAAAUGGGAUAUUUAAAACGCAUCAAAUUACUUUUUAAAUGUGAAUGACUCAUUCAAUUAUAAUACUGAUGAAUAAAGUAAAGCUAAACUCUUGCACAGAAGGACAUUCUUUUCAAUGAAUUCAAGGAAAGAAUAAUUGUGGAAUAAAGUAAAAUCUAGUGAGAGGAUCUCUAUCUGGCAACAAAAACUCAAGGAAAGUAUCAUCUUGAGGAAAUUAAAAUAAAGAAAAGAAUAAAUAAUGAGUAAAAUAAGAGAAAAAUUAUUUUGAGAUUAAUUAAAAUUUUGAAAAAUGAAAGAGAUGUGUUGUUGCAUAUAAACAUUUCAACAAUUGAAAACCAAUAAGCCACGAUGGCUGAAAUAAGGCUACAUAAAAUCAUGCAAAAAGAUGAUGGUUUUCAAUAAACCAACUCAAGGGAGCACUGUAUCUAUCUAGGAAUGAAGUUAAAUCUGUGCUAAUAGAGAUUUUUCUCAACAAGCGCAAGAAAAGCAUAAGGAAAAACUCAAAACACAUAUAUUCAUACCUAAAUAAAUAAAUAAAUAAAUCCCUGAUCUUCCUUUUCCCUGGGGCAUCUUGCUUUUUGUAAGCAAGGCUUAUAAUGGCUCAAUUCAAUUGUAACCACAAAUUCAAUAGUCCAUCAUAUCAUUUAAUCACAUAACAUUUAAUAUAGAAGAAGACACUUGUACAUAAACUUAAUAUCAAUAAAAUCUCUUCUCACCAUCACUAAGAAGAAACCACCCGCUAAAACAUGGAAUCCACAAGCCCAAAACAACGAAGUCAAAUCUAUGUAAGGCAAAACAUUAGAGAGGAGCCACCUUGUAGCUUCGCUGUGGCACCUUCUUAAAAGUGGCCCACAUAAGAUCGAAGUACAGAGGAAACUGUGCCACGGCAAAGAAGAUUACUGGAAGGCAGGUUACUGCAUAUACAAGAAUGGCAGUGUAUUGCAGUUUAUCCAUAAGGACAAAGUAAUGUCCGGCACAGAAAGAGAUUAGCAUCGAAGCUAUGGACACAAAGAGCGAUGUCAAGCCUACUAGAAGUUUCCUUGGCAAGUAGAUGCGAAAAUCUCUCUCUUGGUAUCGAGAGGUUAGAAUGGCAAGAAACAUGAUCACAGCAUUGACUGAGAAACAAAGCGCGACAAGAGAAGAUAUGGCAAAAAUGUCAAAUGCCGGCUCGUCUUCUAGCGUUGGUGUUCCAACUUUUUCUUUCACCCCACCUGGCACAGUGGAAGACGUUGCAAAGGCCACGGUUGCAAUGAGGGCUGCCACCACGGAGCAUGACUCAGAGGUUUUGAAUAGCCAUUCACCACCAGCUUGGACAAGAUCCAUGUGUUUCUCGGUGAAGAUAUCCUUUGCAGUCUCACCCUUCUGGUUGCAGCGUACAAAGAAAUGUUGUGGCACGGACCUCUUAACAAACUGCAUAGUUCAAAGUUCAAAUUAACAAGGAAAAGGAAGAGUUCUUCAUAAGUUUCUCCAUCCGUUUUCUUUUUUUCUAUAUAGCAAUAUAUCAUAUAAUUUUACAAAAUUAAAAACAUUUACGCAUUUUGUCUGAUCAUAACUUUAAAUAUUCUAAUUAAUUUUCUUAAGAAUCUGGUAUUACUCGAUUAUCUAGAAUGAUGCAGCCAACAGAAUGUAAACUUCUGAACCUCACAUUGUUCAGGCAAUCAUUUCAACCACAAUUAGUAGUGUCCCUGAGAGUAGCAGGUUUAGGGUUUAAUCCUCCUACCCCAAUAUAUCGUACCCUUCAUUUCUUAUGGUCUACACCUUUUAAAAUGGAAAGUUAAUACUGAAAUCAUAAUGGAUAAUUGCAUACCUCGUACCACUUUAUUUCCCACUGCAUCUGCAAAGCGGCACCAGGUAUAAGCCAAGGCUUAUUCUCUCCAAGCAUUGCAGCCAGAUGUAGUGCACUAUUGCCAUCUAUGUCCACGUGCCGAAACACGGCGUCCUUGAGGACUUUUCUUUUGACUAACAGCUCAUAAACAUGGGGUUGCCUGUACUCCACUGCCAACAACACAAUGUUCUUUUUUUGGUAAUCCUUGUCAUGGAUGGCCACUGGAAAAAGUUCUAGAAUUCUCUCCACAAUUUCCACCACACCAUUCUUUGCUGCAACUAAUAAGGGUGUCUCUUUUCUCUCCAUUUCCGAUGGUUUCUUCUUAUCUGCCAAUAUCAGAUGAUUAAAUUUUAUUUAUUAAGAAAUUCUGACCACAUAAUGGAUGACAAGUAUUAGAUCAAAGAUAAAACUCUUGCCAAGAAUAAAUAUAAUUGCUAGAGAUAACUGUUACCUUGUUCAUUUUUCUUAUUUUUACCAUUGUCAUUCUGUUUUCGCUGAGCUUCUGGUGAGCUUCGAUCAGCGGGAGCUCCUUUAUCUUCACCCUGUUGAUUAGUUGCUGAAGAAGGUUGAGCUGCUGUGCCUCCCGGUAGAUGCUGACUUUCUAAGGUGUUGUCAAAAGAAACACCAUGAUCAUCCGAGAUGCUGUAAGGUGUUGUGUCAGCAUCUUUCUUCUGUGAUGGUUGUUGAGGAUUUCUUCCAUUAUCUUCGUACUCAUAAAAAGAAGCAUGACAAAGAAGUUCAUCCAAGAUCUGUGCAGCCCAUACGUGCUUCUCUUUUUUCUGCCGGACCUUCUUUACGGCCUUAAAUCCUUAGUACCAUCAGAUAUAACAACCUUUGAGAAAAUUGAAGUCCUGCAUACUGGACAAUUGAAGUCUAAAGGAUUGGUGUAAAGGAUGGUAUGGAAAGGCUUACCAAAUCCGAGAAUUACUAAUAUUGCCUUGAAUACAAACUUGAUUAUAUUAAAGCAAGUGUGGUAAUUGGAGGGAAUCAGUUGAUGCCCUUGUGACUGCAAUUCUCCUUUCGCCUUCAUGUUUGAUUGGUUUCCUGAACAAAAUAAUUGGAAAAUUCUAUUUGAAUUGUCACAACACAAAAAUUAAAAAGGAAACAUAGAGAUCAUUACAAGCAACCUAUAAUGUGCAGAAACUUAGGCUAUUUUACUAGCGGAAACCAACCCAAAUGGUUCUUUCAGAGAUCUUGUAAUUGUUUUUUAUAUAAUAAAAAAAAUGACGCAUUCAAAAGAUAUAGCCCAAAACAAAUUUUAGAAACGUGUUGCUGAACAUGUUCCUGCAUUAUUUUCACUUUUCAUGUUCCUGGAAAUGGAAGACAGUAGUAUGCACUUCCUCUAGGAGAUUGGUCCUUUACAUUGCAAAAUUGGAUACAACCAUGUGAGAGCUAGCAGAAAAAUCUAUCCCUUUUUUUGUUGCAUGUUGGCUCAUUUUAAUGUCUCAAAAUAUUCUUUUUCUGAUCUUACAAAGGUUCUGAAGUGACAUUUAAUUUCAAUGUAGGCUGCCCCCCAUGCACAAGACAAUGGUCCAUAAGCUGCUCUGAGUAUACUGUGAUAAUGCAUAUAGGAACAGCUCAUGCUUUUUUUCUGAAGCCCAUUAAACAUAGAUGCCAGAUAGAGAAGAUGAUUGCUAACCACUGGGAUCCUCCAGAUCAGCUUGCCCACCAGUUCCUGGAUCUUUUCCGGUAUUAGCUGAAAAUGGGAAGUAGCUUAAUGACUACUUUUAGCAUAGAGGGAAGUCGUAACAGAACAUUCAAAAAGCAAGGCAUCAGUUUAAUGCUGCCAAUUCACAGAUCCAUGGAUAUCACCAUGCAAAUAAGCCUAUUGCUAAAGAGUACUACUACAUGUACAGAGGCUUCGCAUAAGAGAUUCUCCGCGCUACACUCAAUGAAAAGUGUCACCCUCUAUUUUGCAGAAGAUUAUUUUAUGUUCCCGAGUCUGUGAGAGAAUCAAUAGAGAGAACCUCUAAAACAAACUUUAUUCCUCCUACCACUAAAUAUGUAUCUUUCUAGGCCAACAUGCAUAAUUUACCUCAACUUAGGCUUGCACUGACUUCUUGCAUUUCACGUUUCUAUGAUAGCUAAGCUGCUAACAUCUCAGCAAAAUAAUUUAUAACUGGGGAUUUUUUUUUUCCUUUAUAAUGUUUUUAAAAUUUUAAAACAUAGUUAAUGUACAACAAAAGAGAUGAUACUUACCAUUGGUAGUCUUCUGAUCUGAUUGCUCAAGAUUUGUGUUUGGACGGUUUCCAGGAUCAACUGAAAAUGGGGAGAGGCUCAGUGAGGGCUUUUUUAUUAGAAUACAGGAAAUGGAAGUGCCAAGACAAAUAUAUAAGAACAGUGCCUAAUCCAGACCCGAAUGAAUUUAAGCCUGAAAGCCUAGCAAGAAAUAACUUCAGUGAAUUGGCCUGAUGGCCCUAACUUCGAAUGGAAGUAGACUGAUUUUGAUUUGUAUUUGCAGUCUUCAUAGAAUAUGUGAAUUCAGGGUCGCAUGCUUCGAUGGUGCUCAUCUAGUCUAAGAUUAAUAGAUGGGAGGUCCCAGAAAAAUCACCUCCCAAAGCAAAAUUACUUAUAUGGUAAAACACUAAAACUACUUAGUUGGGACAACAUAAAAUAUGAUUAAACAAAUAAAAAGAAAAAGUGUAGUUCUAUGAUAUCGUCACCCACAUAGUAUUGUCAAGGCCGACCAGGGCAAUCGGAGGAAAUUGAUGCAUGUUUGGUAGUUCUCUGGACAUAGAGGAUCCUUUUCUUCAUCAAAAGUUUUUACGAUAGCUUCCUCCUGCUUGAAUGUUUCCUCCUCAAGCUUUUCAACAAAUAUACCUUGAAAAUAACAGUCAAUAGAGCAAAGUGAAAACUGUAGUUAUGAGACAAUGUUCAUCAUUGCCAAAAUACAUUUAAGGCCUUGUUUGUACAGGCUUUCAAAGAGAGAAAAGCUCUUUUACUCAAAUGGAGUGUCAAAAAGAUAAAAUCCUAUUCCCAUGAAAUCCACUUGAUUUGCCACCAAUCCCGUGCAGAGGAUUGUGCUUAAUUCACGUCUAGGCAGAACUGGAAUACCAAAGUAAGGCCUAUUGAGGAAAGGGAAAUGUGCUGCCAGACAUUAUUUGAGGAAGGAAGUAGUUUUGAAGGAAAAGUGAUUCUUACAGUGAUAUAUGAUGUUGGUGAACCAUCGAAAAUGACUCCCGCUUCUGAAAGCAGAAUGUUUGGUGGCCAGGAGAUGGAGAGGCGACAAUCCUUGCUCAUUUACGGAGUUAACAAGAUUCUUGUACCGGCUAAUUAUUUGAAAAGCCAAAUCUAUCAAACACAAUGAUAAAUCUUUAAUCAGAUUAUUUUCAAAGGAUAAGAUAUACUUUAAUCAGAUUGAGUUGCUUAUCGAUAUAGAGUUAUUUUCAAAGGAUAAGAUAUACUUUAAUCAGAUCAUGAACAAGAUUCUAGCAAAGCACUCACCAAAGUAUUCUCCCGCGAUGGCACAAUGAAGAAUGGUAUCACCAUCAUUCCUCCUACAGUAAGUGUUGCCCUUAUCCAAUCCGCAUAUUUCAUCGAGGCAAAUAAAAGCUUCUUUCUUCCCAUGUAGUGCAGCCAAGAAGAGAGGAGUCUCACUGUCAUGGUUGCGGGCGCCAAUCAGGUCCGGGAGUGCAUCAGCAAUGCACUUACACAUCUCCAUGCUCCCCAUAGAUGCUGCUAAAUGGAGAAUGGUAUUCCCUCGCUCAUUUUGUAUCUUGAGAACCUCCUUGACCUUAGCUUUACCCCGGAUAAUGAGUAGUAGCUGUUCCACAAUACGCGCUUGGUCAUCAGAAACUGCUACAUGUAAUGCUGUGUCCCCUGAUUUUGUGAUUUUGGCCAUGUGAACUUCUUCAUUUUCCUUAUAUAUGUUCACAACUUCAUCCCAUUUACCCUGCAUGGCACUUCUGAACAGUUUCUUUUUAAUCACCUCCAUAUUUUGUCUUGUCUCCCGAGUAGAAGCCAUUUUUCCUGUCUUCUUCUUAAUGUAAACUACUUCUGGGAACUUAAUUUGGAUGGAAAAGAAUGGGGUAAGGAUGAUGAUAUUUAUGCUGUUUAGUAAAGUAUGUUUGGAUUAUAAAAUUCAAAAGAAGUUAGCAUGGUAGGACUGAGAUAAAAGGAUUUCUACUUUAUCUUGCAUCGAAAUGGCUAAAGAACAUAUGAUGAAAUAUUCCUAACUGCUAAACCAAGAAACCUUUCUGCUUUAGCCACAAUCCUCUUGACGUGUCACCCACAUUUAAAUACAAAAGUCUGCUGUUCACAACCGUUUUUUUUUUUUUUUUACUAUUAAUUGCAUAUUGUCUUUACUCUCUCUCUCUCUCUCUCCCACAUAUAAAUACAAAAGUCUGCCGUUCACAACCUUUUUUUUUUUUUUUUUACUAUUAAUUGCAUAUUGUUUUUACUCUCUCUCUCUCUCUCUCUCCCACAUAUAAAUACAAAAGUCUGCAGUUCACAACCUUUUUUUUUUUUUUUUACUAUUAAUUGCAUAUUGUUUUUACUCUCUCUCACCCACAUUUAAAUACAAAAGUCUGCAGUUCACAACCUUUUUUUUUUUACUAUUAAUUGCAUAUUGUUUUUAUUCUCUCUCUCUCCCACAUUUAAAUACAGAAGUAUGCAGUUCACAACCUUUUUUUAUACUAUUAAUUGCAUAUUUUUUUUACUCUCUCUCUCUCUAUAUAUAUAUACUUUUUAGAUUUAGAGCUAGCUAAGAUCUUGACGUACAUUAUUUUUUAUAUUCAUGCACUUGAUUGAUUUUCCCCUAUUAAUUAAACUCAUAAUAUUUCAAAUUUAUUUUCUUCAACAUCAUGACUGUGUGGCCUUUUUCUUUUCCAAAAUGCAUCCUUAUCUCAUUUAAAGUAAGAUAAGAGAAAUAAAAAGAAAGUGAAUGCAACAGAAGCUUUGCAAUGCACAUAGUCAAAAGCAAAUGUCUAGUGCAAUUAAUAAAAUGGUGGAAUAUGUGAAUGGGAAGCAGGGCUUUAGAUUGGCUACCUUUCUUUUCUUUUGAUUUUAUCACCUUCUCUCCCUUUUUCUGGUCAAAGAAAGGGCAGUGUCAUAUUCUUAGACUUGAUUUACAUGAUCUGUUGAAUAUAUAAAUAUUUAUACCUACCUGCACACCAUAGUGAUAGAUGAAGAUAUGACCAUAUCACCAUGCAACUUGGGGGAAUUGGUAAAGUUGAUUAUUAACGCAAGCCCAAUCUUAUUGAAGAAACAAUCAAAUUCAAUUUAAAUUCAACCCAAACUCUAAUAUAAGGUACUUGACCCUAGUUUAACCCAAUCUCAUUUUUCUAAAUUCGGUUUAAAUUCGAGUUAGUCAAGUUAAACUCAGAUUGAUCGAGUUAAAUUCAAAUUGGUUGUAUUGAUUAGGUUAUAAGAUUCAAAAUACAUUCAUAGUGGUGUAAAAAAAAAUCUAUAUAUUUAUAUCAAAAUUUAAAAAUAUAAAUAAUAUAAAAUUUUAAUAUAAUAAUAAAAUAAUAAAAAUAAACUUAUAUAUUUUUUAUUAAAAAUGUAAAAGCACAUAAUAUAAGUAUAAUUUGGUUUUUUUUUCUUUAAAAUCUAAAAGAAAAAUGAAUAUUAUCAUAUAAGAUAAUAAAAUUAUAAAUAUUAUAAAAAUAUUAAAUCAAAUUCGAGUUAAACUCGAUUUGUUUGAAUAUUGACCCAAACUCAAUCCAAAUUGAGUUUCAAUUGUAAAAACUUAACUCAAUUUCAAUUUGAAUAAUGAAAAUGUUUAUCCAAAUCCAUCCGAGCAUCGGGUCCGACUCAUGUUGGGUAUCAGGUUGGGUUGGGUUAACACUUCGAAAUUGCACCCCUAGCUAUGGAGCAAAGAAAACAAACCGCAACAAAUAUUGAGAUAUAGGACAAAGGAAAAAAAACAACUAGCAACAAAUUUGGAAGUUUAUCUAUCCCCAAAAUACUAAAAACCUCAAUAGCCACACCCAUUAGGGCAUUCCUCAUGAACAUUAACUUAUGGUUCUGAGUCCUCCAUAACCUCAAGCUUGACAGGAGCAAUACCAGGUUCAUCAACAAUGGCGUCCAGGUCUCCAGUCUCCCCUUCCAAAUGAGCCAUCAGCAUGGCCACGACAAGCCCACCUACACACUCCAUCAUCGAUGUUUUAUCACCCUUCCCACUCUUGCACAUGGAACCCAUAAUCGCCCCAAUGGAUGUUCCAAUGCAAUUGGUGCAAUAAUCAUCAUCUAACAUGUCCAUGUGACCAUAAUCUGGAAUAACAAAGCCAAGGCAAUUAUCCUUGCACUCGUUGAAAAACUCCGCGUAGUUGAGCCCAUCAGGAGCACAAGAACAUGGUAUGCAGCCGAUGACAGACUCGCCCCCAAGACCCGUACCGAUUACCAUAACCGGGAUAUCCAGAAUGAAGGAAUGAGGGACACCAGUUAGGAUCUUUGGACACAUUUUCAUGCAUUUAUUUGCCCCAGCAACCGGGUCUAUACCUAUUAGGGUUAAGAACUUGAGAUUCAUGGAUACGUUGGCAUUCCCCAGUGCAAGAGCAAAUGCUAGAUAACCCCCUCUGCUAUGGCCUGCAAGGGCGAGCCUGCUUAGGUCUGGAACAACAUUUUCUGGGAGCACAGAUUGAAGGCCUGAGCUUAACCAGUUGGCGACUUCCGCUGCAGAGUUGAUAUCCGGUCGGCCGUACAAAGAACAUAGGCUGAGUAACUAGACAAACCAUCAACCAUUGCAUAAUAUUAGUUGAUUUUGAAAGAAUGUAAAAAAAAAAAUAAAAAAAUAAGGGAAAAGGGAGUUGGACAGAUACCCUAGGAGCCACAACAAUAUCUCCAUGAGAAGAAAUAUGCUCAAGGAGGUUCGUAUAGCAGCAGGGGCAGAUGUUGUAGCCAUGAAGAAACAGGAGAACUGGGUAUGUUCCUUCAGUGUCUGGUGUUACAAUAAACAAUGUCUUUGGAGCGUUACAAGUUGUUAUGGGUUUCGCUGUGUAGUUUCCUCGCUUAAAAACAUCUGUUGCUGCCGCCGGUGCAGGCCUAGCUUCUAACGCUGCCAUUGCUCUCCCUCUCCCUCUCUCUCGGCAUGUUGAAACACACAGGCGGUCUUAUCCUAUAAUGGGUGGAGGAUCGGCGUUCACGCCCCACAUGGUGAUCCAGUGCCAUAUUUUUCUAUUCUAAAUAAUAAAAAAUAUGUUGAUUGAUAAUAAAGGGUUUUGUCAAAAAUAUACUGAUUCUAAAUACUAAUAGCAUUCAUAUAAAAAAUAGAUUAUUCUUCAAACAAUAACAUAGAAAAUGUCAAAUUCAAAUGAGAAUUAUUUCAUUCCUUUUAACCAAUUAAUUCUAAUAAAAAAACAUGUUUAAGCUCCAAUCACCCGAUAUUUCCUUCACACGCAACCUUGCGACAUGAGUUUGAAGAAAUAUGCAAUAGAGCUUCAAACUAUCAGAAGUGUAGAACUUAGAACACGCAAAAUAUGUAGUGUUUGUGCUGCAUUCAAUCUGCAUAAUUAAUGGGAUUCAGCAAAACCCCAUUAGUUAUACUUAUACCUUUAUCUCCAUCUCCAUUUAUAUUUGUUUGAGGUUUUAGCUCAAACUCUUAUGAUUUAACUAAUGUUUGGUUGGCGAAAAAUUUGAGGAAAAAUGUAAAAGAAAAAAAAUAAAGAUGAAAAGUAUUAAAAAAAAAAUUAAAAAAGUAGAUUUAAAGUCAUAAAUUUUUUUUUAAGUGUUACUUUAAACCCAUUUAACUUACUUUUCCACUUCUACGUGAACAUAAAAUAAUUUUAAAGUGAAUAAAAUUUUAAUUAAUUUUAAAUAUAUUUUAAUUUAUUUCAUAUUUUUUCAUAAUAAAACUAAACAUAAAAAAAUUAUUUUCAUAGGUAUUUUUUUUCUUUGCUUUGUACUAUUAAGAACUAAACACACCCUAAAUGAACUUGGGGGAAUAUUCUUGGCUAAAAUGUCACCUUAAACUUUAUUUUUAAAAACAUAGCAUCUAUGUUUCAAUUAAAGAUUAAUCUUUGAAAUGGUCCCCACCCCAAAAUUUAAAAAAAAAAAAAAACUUUAUUUUUAAAAACAUAGCAUCUAUAUUUCAAUUAAAGAUUAACCUUUGAAAUGGUCCCCCCACCCCGAAACAAAACUAGGAAAGUGACCCAAGCCAAGAAUGACAAAUUUUAAUAAAGACAGUUUGGCUGCACUUUGCAAUGAGCUAGGACAGUAUUAUUGAUCUUCAUGCAACAAUUCCUAGUGAAAAAAUUAGAGGGAAAAAAAAAAAGACACAAAUUUAACGUGGUUAGAUAGAUUGCCUACGUCUACAAGAAUAGGAAAGAAGAUUUUCAGUAUAUUUAAAUUAGGGUUACAUAAAAGGGUAUUUAUACUAACCCUCAGGUAUUAAAAUUUCAAAAAUACUCUUGAACUAUACUACAUGGGUAUUUGCCCCUUUUUCUCUAUAUGUUUUUCACUCAAUAUAAGCCACAUACUACAAGUAUCUUGGGUUUCAUCUUCAAUGGGUGUGUCCUUUUCUUUCUUUGAACAGAAAGAAUAAUAAUAAGUAUAGACAAAAGCAUAUUGUAUGGAUGAUAUGGAUCGAUCCUUUCAUAUUUGCAUUCUCUGAUUUCUCUUUCAGAUAUUUUAGCACCUAUAUAUUGGUUAACCUUGAAGGGGACACAAAGGAUUUGGGUGUCAUUCUCAAAAGAAUUAACCUUUCUUGUCUCUCAUAAAAUUUGUGCUAAAUCCAAGUAAUCAUCUUGGAUUCAUAAAUAAUGGUUAAUUUUAAGUGAUCUUAGACUCACAAUGCGAUAAGGAAAGGUUUAGUAAGAGCAAGUUUAAAAGCUUCGAGGGGUUAGCACCUCCCAAUACAACCCUGAGAUGAGAUGAUAAAUAAGUUUGAUGGAUGUCUUACUUUUCAUGGAGCAAGUGUUUAAAUACAAAAAAAUACUCACACAAAUGACCACUAAAAUAGAAACAAACCAACUACGUAAAUGAAUGACCCAUAUCUCAUGCAGCUCACUAGCAACUAAAGACUAGGACAAAUAAUUAAAAUGUAAUGAAUGCAUAUCUUCAUCUAUUUAAUUAAUAAAAUAAAAGUUAUAAAAAAAUACUUAAUACAUAUUCUUAAGCCCAUGAGCAGGUUAUCUUUUAUCAUAGACUACCUUAAUCUUCGACCAUCCUAAAGCAUUUCGUCUUGAUCAUUUGACUAUCCAUCAAGUGAAACGGUUCCUCACUAAAGAAAACCAAAGUUCCACUCCAACCAAGGAAAGAGAUAAAUCACAUCUUGGCCAAAUGUCAAUCCUCCUAGUUUGACUAUAUGAUGAAGUUACUCAAUAUAUAUAUAUAUAUUAUGUUUUUCAUCAAUUAUUAAUUUAUAUUUUUUGGGGCCUUCAAAUAUUUUUGAAAAUAUUAUUAUUUUAUGUAUUUAGUGAGUUAUUAACUUAGUAUACUAGUCCAAGUUGGAAUCGAAAAAAUUCAUUAUUUAAAUGAAAUUAUUAAUUUAUGAAGGUUUUACUGUAAUGUUUCAAUCGUACAUAUAGGGAGCAAAGGUUUCAUAUUGUUAUAGUUUAUUUGGUUGACUACAAAUAACUCAUCAAUAGAGAGCAUUACCCCCCUAAAGAAAAAUAGUUCUUAGUCUUUUACAAAUUUUUACUUAUGUCAUUAAUUUGGUAAAUUCUCAUCUCAUCUAUAGAAAAUAUUGUUAAUAAAACAAGCUCAUAGUAUUAUAGCAUAAGAUUGUACUUCUACAUGGUAGCAUACUAUUAUUGUCGACAAUUACACUUUAGUCCAUUAUUUUUGAAAAAUUAUACCAACACCCGAUGAGCAGCCUGAUUAGAGCAAGACCACGCUUUUGACCAACUAUGACCAUUGACGUAUAGGUGAUUGUUAAUUGUCGCCAUUGAAAAUUUAAUGAAAAUCCUUAAAAUACCCUCAAUUACCUUAUUUAAUAUAAAAUGCCUAAAAUACCCCUUAAACCUUAUCUUACAUAACCUUACCUCAUCACAUUAAUAAAAUUUUAUUCCAAAAGAAUUGAAAUUAAAAUUUUGACAAAUAUAAUGAUUAAAUGAAGUUAAUAUUUGGACAAAUAUCAUGAACGUCUUCCUCGAUUCCUCUCCUGUAACAAAAGAAGAAGGAUGUUUGUAGUCAUCUAACUAGCAAACCUAUUUCCAACGUUACCCCACCAACGACAAUUUUCACCAACACACAACUUUAGUGUAUAAAUUUUGAUGGCCCAUAGCCUUAUAAGCUAGAGGAAUUAAUGAACAAAGGAAAGCCCCAUAUGAAUGUUGACGACCAUUGUGCUCGGCAAAUUAGGUCCUACUUAAUAACCAUCUUUUAAAAUAGUUUCCUAUUUCUCCAAAAAAAAAAAAAAGGAAAAAAAUAUAUUUAACAACCAAAAAAACAGGAAACAAUUUUUUUAUUUCUAAAAACAUAAAACAAUUUUCUAUUUCUAAAACCAGAAAAUAUAAUAUUUUAAAAUAAUACAUUUUAAUUGUUUUAAGUUUUUUUUUUUUUUCUUUUUUAAGAUUGUUUAAAAAUAAUUAUAUAAAUAUAAAGAAUAACUAAAAAUAAAGUAUUAUGGAUAAAAAUUAUUUUUAAAAACAUAUUUAAAAACAAAGAAAAUUAACAAGUUAAAAAUAUUUCAAGGUUUCAAAUAAAAUUUUGAUUUACAAAAUAUGAUAAAAUUAUUUUUCUAAACCGUUUCCAAAAAUACUCCUCAAACAUAGUCUUUCCACACGCCUUCAUAUGUUAUUUGCUCCCAAAGGUAUAUAUACCAAGUACUAGAAUAAUGCAAAUUCCAAUUAAUCAAUGGUGCUUUAGCUGAGUUGGAUGGCAGUGUACUGCCAAGUGAAACCUCCAAAAGUAUUGAUCACAGUACUGAAAGCCAAGAAUCAUUGUACUGCAUUUUUAUUAUCAAUUAAGCAUUGCCAUGUAAGAGAAAAAACAAACAUAAUAAUUGGAAACAAUUAAUGAUCAUCUAUUGAGACCCUAUCAAAAAUGACCUAAUCCACAUGUGAUGUUCUUAUAAUAUGGAACACCCAAUCCCCCAUUCUUAGUCUAACACAAAUGAUGGGUCUUGAGAAUAGUAGAGGUCAUUAGCAAUACAACACAGUUUCGUUUAUUUGAAUCUUUGUUCCCAAAGACGAACCGAAAAAAAAAAAAAAAAAAUCUGCUGUCACACUCCUUAUAGCAUUACAAAGAAUCCAUGAUUUCAUGCUUCUAUGAACUCAACAGGAUCAAGCUUCACAGGAGCCAGAUCAGGUUCAUCAACAAUGGCUUUGAAAUCUCCAGUCUGACCUUCCAAAUAAGCCUUCAAGAAUGCAACAAAAAGGCCACCCACACAUCUCCUCAUGGGGUCCCUAGGACCCUUCCCACUCUUGCAGAUAUAACCCGAAAUCGCCCCAAUGCAGCCUGAAAGAUGAUCAUCUAACAUGUCCAAGUGACCAUAUUCAGUAGUCACAAAGUGGGAACAAGGAGGUUUACACUCACUGAAAAACUCUACAUGGUUCACUCCAUCUGGGGCACAUGGACAUGUUAGGCAGUUCCUUGGCUCAUCGCCCAACCCCGUGCCGAUUACGCAAACUGGGAUUGCUAGAUUGAAGGAAUGAGGAACAUAGGUUAGGAUUUUGGGAACUGUUUGGCUACAUUUACUCAACCCACCAACAGGGUCUAGUCCUAGUAGGGCUGAGAAGUUGAGGGAUGUAUCAGCAUACCCUAGUGCCAGAGCAAAUGCUGUCUUUCCCCCUCUGCUGUGGCCUGAAAGAGCAAGCUUGAGUAGGUCUGGUUUCACAUUUUCUGGGAGCACAGAUUGAAGGCCUGAGGAUAGCCAAUUUGUGACUGCUGCUGCUGAUUUGAUCUCUUGAAUUCCAGAAGGAGGUAAUAGUCCGUAUAACUAUAUAGAAAACCAUUUCACAGUACUGCAUGUCAGAGAUUGGAGAUUAAUAGAAAAUGUGUUUGUGCAUGCGGUUAUUAAUUGAAAGUUCUCCCAAAUGCCUUGCAAUCUUUCGGAUGAACUUGAUUAAAAAUAUUAAAUCAAGUUUGGGUUAGGUUCAAUUUCCUAAACUUUGGUCCAGAAUAAUUCAAAUUGAGUUCAAGAUUGAAAAACCCUAAUAUAAGAUCAACCUAGAUGUCAAAAUGAUUACCAAAGCUCAUCUAAACAUUGGGUUAGGUUGGAUUUCAUUCGGGUCAACCUGUUAAACAGGUUGCACCUCUAUUAUUAUGUCAAUAUAUAAAUAUAUUGAACUAAUUUGGAUUGCAAUACUUCAAUUACAAAGAUCAUUACCUUUAAUUUUAUAAUUAUAUAUAGAGAUGACAAUAUGACAGGUUUUUUUUAGUACCAAUCUCACCACCCUGCCCCUAGUGGAACAUGUUUAAAAUUUAAAUAAAUGGAUUCGAGACAAAUUUAGAAUUUUUUUAAAACCCGAGGCAGGCUCAAAAUGGAUUUAGGUAUUGUCUAAUCUUAUCUCGUUCCAUCACAUUCAAAAUAAAAUAAGUUAUAAAAAAUUAUAUUAUUUUUAUUAUUUAUAAAAUAUAUUUAUUUUAAUAUAAUUAAAAUAAAUAAUUUUUUUCAAAAAAAAGUUAAAUAGUCGGGCAAGGCGAGUAUGGUAAAUUCGUAUGCCCACCCUACCCAUUUAACUUUUUUAAUAGGAUGGAGAUGGAAACUAUUUUGGAUAAACAUAACUCACCCUGAACCUGAAACCAUCCUCUUAUCAUCUCCAACUAUAUAUUAAGUACAAUUAAAUGGGAAACGAGUAGAAGAAGAAAAAGAAAAAUAGGGGGAGGAGGAUAGUUAACAGGGAAGAGAGGUUGAGAAAGCACCUGAGGAGCCACCACUAUGUAUCCAUGGGAAGAAAUGAGUUGAAGGAGCUGGGUGUAGAAGGUGUUGCGGAGCUCGAAGCCAUGAAGAAACAAGAGAACUGGGUAUGUCCCUUGAAUGGUUGGUGUAACAAUCAACAAUGGCUUGGGAGGGGAAGCGAUGUUUGAAGUCUCCACUCGAAUGCAAGUCACACUCAAAUUUCCUGGCUCAAAAACACUGGUUGUUGUCUUCAAAUCAAGCUUGAUUCCCUGGGUUGAAGGAUUACCUCCUAAUAGUGCCAUUGCCCCCUUUUAGAGUGUGUGGAAAUCAAGGUAUAGAUCUCUCAUUUUAUAAUUGGAGAGAAUGAUGAAUUGCAGCCAUUGGGCAGCUAUGCAGCUGGGCCCUAGAGGAAGAGUCCCCGACUCCAAAUAAUUGUAGCAGCCUUCGAGUCAAUCAAUACUAGUCAAGUACACCAACUAACAAAAAGAUAUUUCAAACAAAUUUCAUUUAACUAUUAGACUUAAAACUUAAAUAAUUCAAAAAUACAUAAAUUUUUAACUAAUUUUAAUUAAAUUUUAUUUUAUUUCAUAUUUUUUAUAAUGCAAUUAAAUAUAAGAAAUUCAUUUUUCUUAAUUUUUUUUUUUUAGUAUUUUAAGGACUGGUAAAAAAAAAAUUAAAGGCUAACUAAAAUAAUUUUAAAAACUAUUUUUAAAUUUUCAAAUAGGGGUUUGUUUUAUAAAAUAUAAAAAAAAACAAUUACGACAACAAAACCUAAUAGGAUACAACCUGUAGACCCUCAAUUUUGUCCCUUUAGCACAUGUCUUUAAAUUUGUUUUCAGUGCUCCAUAGUAGUUCCUUGGUGGCCCAUUAUUACUCGCAUAAAAGGUGGAAGACCAGAUCCUUAAAAAAGAAGGAGAAAAAGAUACCAAAAGCAGAAGAGGAGAUAUAGUAAAGAAGGGGGGGUUUUUCAGAGAGGAUUUUCAGCACACAUAAAAAAAACGUGGGGAAAGAGAUUCAUCCUGGAGAGGGGAAUUGGAAAAGAGAAGCAGUACUUCUUUAGAAAAGUUCUAAGGUAAGCUUUCUGAUUAUUUUUCUGGCUCACCUUCCCAAUCUAUAUUCUUCAUUCUCUCCUUUUAUGAUCGGGAACACUGUUUGCUUGUUGGGUUGAGGAUGGUGGAAACUCUAUGUGAACGUUUCUGAUUUCUAGUUUUUGCAUAUGCUUACAAAUAUUGUUUCAUUCCCUAUUACUAUAUUCAUUUAUUUAUUUUUGAUCAUUCGAACUCAGUGAGACUCUGUUUUAUGGUAUAUUAUUUGAUGACAUUGUUUGCCCUAUCUCUCUUUUACUCUUCCCACCAAUCUAAGCCCAUGGAUUAACACUUGAAAUGAGGCUACGUUAAUUGGCAUCCUCUGCUUAUUCCUUCCCCGGUUUUUACUAUGUGUCUAUCCAUGUCCUCUGUUCCCCUAUUCAUACUACCUUCCAGUCUUUGUCUAUAUAUUUGGGUGUGUAUUCGGGACUGAUAGAAGUGCUGAUAUGAAAGAUAAAGUGUGUUGCAAACGCGGUGUACUCAGUGUAUUCCUGGUGGACUGUGAAGAAUGAAGGGUAGUGAUGGAGAUUCAUAUCGUGUGAAUUUGGUUGAAUAACAGAAGAAGGGUUGCAUGGAAACAGCAAAGAGAGAGGGAUCUUCAGGAAUUUCUACUAUGGAAAAGGACUUAUGAUUACACAGUCCAACUGUUGGCAAGAUCUCUGGUCACAAUAUUCGAUCAAAUCAAUUAUGUUUUUGGAAUUACUCAGAUGACGGAUGUUGAGGAAGACAUAGAUUCGAGGAUAAUGAACUUUGAUUAUAUUAAUCGCAACCAGUCAGUUUCUGCAUUAAUGCUAUCUUCAGUUUAUCCAUCUGAGAAUAGUAGAGCCAAAUUUACUUCAAGUCCACUAUCUUGGGACUAGAAGCUCUUCACUUAUUCAUUAUCCACUUAAAAUCCAAGUGGCUUUCCACGACUCGUAGACAAGUUACAGGCGUCAUCCUUUUCUCACAUGAUUUCUACAUCCAAAGCCUUCCGUGGCAUGCAUCAUAAUACAUCAAGUGGCUAGUUUAAAAUAUCGUUAAUUAUCAGAGGAGCUUUCUGGUAUUUGUUAACAUAGCACACACCCUGCAAUCUACUCACAUGGAUGAUCAUGACCUUCUAGUUGGGUCCAAGAACGCUCAUUGAGUUCAAAGUUAGGCAGAGAAUGCAUUGGAUCGAAUUGACGGGUUUGAAAAGAUUGUUAGAGCAAUUUCUAUUGUUGUUAGGUUCCUUGUAACCUUGAAGACCGUGCGCAUCAUACCUUCACUUGCACUUUUAAUGAAAUCUGAUGAAGUGAUUGACAGAUCCUUUGUUGCCCAGGCUGAUUAGUCUUGUUUGUAAUGGAAGUCGGGGAAUAAAUCUUAUAAUUGCAAAUUCAGGUGCAGUUGCUGGGUUGAUAACCCUAAUGGAUUAUAUAGAAUAAGAUCCGCCAAACCAUAAUUGUUUUAUCUAGAGAGUGCAUGCAAGAUGGAUCUUAAACGUGGAUAGUUUCCAGUUGUUUCUGCGUAUUCUAAUGGAGAUGGAUGUUCUGAUGGUGGAGCUUUUGACAAUGGACCUUGUUUUUUUAGGUGCAACAUCUGGCUGGAGAUCAGUUUCAUGAACAUAAAUCUAAGAUCUACUUACCUUAUGUGUCAGGAAGUCCACUUCUUGUCAAUGAGUUAGUUUAUGAUGAUGCUCCCUAGCUGUUUGGUUCCUAAAGAUGAAUGUCUGCCUGCAAAAGAGAUGAAGCAGCCCCUAAUGCUGCUGAUUCUGAUACAGCAAGAAACUUCUCAUGAAGUCACUCUUAUGACACUGCUGAUGAGGAACUCGGUUAGAAGUUCAUGACACUUGUCAGGGAUUGAAGUUCUAUUCAAACUACUUUCAUGACUUAAUUUUUCCUGAUUUUCUGAAAUAAUGCCUAUUGCUCUACAUAAUAUCUCGGUUUACGAAAAGCUUUACUCAACAUCAUCCAACAUUAGUACUCCAUGAAAGAUCAACAAUUCUACAAGUCUCCAAGGCUUCCUUGUUAUCAAUGCUAAUGGUUUCCCCGGGAUUAAAAAUUCAUGAACAAGGACUUUCUGGAUCAUCUAAAUUUUCCUAGUCAUAUUCCUAAAGAUUCUAAUGAAAUGGAAAAGGAGAUUUUUCCCAGAUCAGCUGGUAUCUAUAUCCGAAAUGAGACAGCUCGAUCAAGUCAGAACGUGCUUGAACUUCUUUGUAAAGCGGAUCAACUAAGGGAUCAAAAUGCAGCAUGCUCAGUUCAGAUCUCAGAGAGGAAGCCAUUAUCUGAAAUAUCAGAAUCAGAAAUUUUUAUGGUUCUAUAGGUCACCUUCAGCGAAAUCAGUCCUCCGCUUCUUAAAUCAGUUAAUUCGCUCAACUCACAUACCUCUCCUGAGAUAGAAGAUAAGAGUCAUGCAUGGUUGACAUCCGUUCCUCCUGUUCGGUUUUUACCUCAUUCCUAUGAAGCGUCUCAAAGAGAGUCGGGGUAUAAUGAAUUCUUGGGGAAAAGAGCAUCCGAGACCGUAUGCAAGGCAUUUGAUGAAGUAGAUGGAAUAGAACUCGCAUGGGGUCAAGUGGAAAUUAAGGAUUUAUUACAGUCCUUUCAACAGCUAGAAAGAUUAUAUUCAGAAGUUCAUUUACUGAUGUCACCGAAACACGAUACAUCAUCAAGUUCUAUAACACUUGGGUUGAUGAUAUGAAUAGGACUAUUAACUUGAUUACAGAGUUAUUCACUUCCAGGAGUUUGAGACAAUAUCGGAAGAAGUAUCAGCAUAUUGACUUCAAAGUUCCCAAUCCGUUUCAAGUCCCACGGAUGCCCAAGCUGUCUUUGAAACUCUGACAAGAAGGAGUAGCUAUUCAAACCAUCUCCAACAGUACACCUAGUGCUGAUAGUUUCUGGUGUAUAACAGGGAUCAUUACAAGGAAAUAGGAAGGUGCUGAUGCUGUUUUUCUAAGGGAACUGAACCGAAUGACACCAGCAUGCUAUUAUUGCCCAAGAGUAUCAAAAGAACAUGAACUCUUAUCAUCUCAUCAUGGAACAGCCUCCACGCUCUCUAUAAAACUCUUAAUUGAUACAAAUCUGGGAACAUAGACUUCGUUUGCUAUCCGCGAUCAUUGCCAAUGCUCUUAUCUUGGCCCAAGAUCCAUUUGGGAAUUAUGUUGUGUAAUAUGUAUUUGAAUUUGAGGGUUCAUGGGCAAGAACAGAAACGCUCAACCAAUCAGAGGGUUAAUAUAGGCACCUCUCCAUGCAGAAGUACAGCAGCAAUGUCGUUGAGAAGUACCUGAAAUAUACUGGGGAAGAGCAGUUUGCUUGUAUCAUUUAAAGAAUUCAUAGACCAUAUAUCCCUAAUUAGAUCGGAUGAUGCUGGACCCAUAUGUCAAUUAUGUCAUUCAAACUACAUUAAACCACUCCAAGGAAGACAUGGAUAGGGAAAGUUGGUUACUCCAAGGUCCGUAUUUCUCAAGAGCAACCCAAGGUUGCUGGAAUUCUCCAUCCCUCACUAGAAGUCACCAAAACUUUGAACAACAGGAAGCUUCGGAAGGUGCCAAAAGAGGGCAGAAUGCAUUUUGGAGUUCAACGCCAGCACUGCAGUCUCAAAUCUCAUUCACAAGCUCCACUCCAUCAUAGCAACCGUGCUACAAGCAUCUUCUCCCCUACUUGCUUCUUUGAUUGAGAAUUUACUGUUUUAAAUUGAAUUUCAAAACCAUUGUUCAACUAAACAUUAUCAACUUUGAAAAAUUCAUCUUUAGAUCUUAUCUAGGCUAUAAAAUCCAGAUUUCAACACUCUUUUGUUGUCAUUUUCCUUCCGGCACGCAUUUUCACUAUUUUAUUUGAUUUUCAACUAAUUUUCUCGAUUUUUUCUAAGCAUGAAUAAAUUUUAUGAUUCCAAACAAUGAAAUUCAUGGAAUCAACUCAUGCGAAAUUAAUUAGGGCUUUGGUGGGAGGCCCGACAUUCAUGAUACCUUCUUCAAUAUUGUUUGCUUGAUAUGUUGAUUUUUUAUUCUUCUUGAUGAUAUACAUGAAUUUGUUUCGUAUUUAUUGUUGAGAUGCUCUUGAUUCCCAUAGAGGAGUACUAGCUUGCUAUCCUGGUGCGCUCUCUUCUCAUCUAUUUUUUAGAACUCUAUGGACUUGUAUGUCAUUAAUGACCAUAUCCAUAUUUGACGUGAUUCUUGGAUGUCUUGAUAUAUGUCUGAUUUGCUUGAAUAAAACAAAUGUUGUGUGCUACAUUUCUACACUAACUUUUAUGUUUUAUGAUAGCGUUUGAAGAGUGGUUCAGGUACGCACCCUAACUCUCCUUUAUUGUAAUUUGAUUGUGUUUGGCAUGUCACUCUUUAAAAUCACCUAACCUAUUUAGGUAUCUAUAAUUAACUGAUUAAUUGUCACACUUCCAUUAACUUUGUCAGUAGAGACCUUUAAAGGGCUUAGAGGGGUGCUACCUUUUAAAGAUACCUUCCCAAUAGGUAACCUGAUCCCCGAACUUAAACUCAGGUUUUUCAAAGACAUGCUUUUUCCAAAAAUUAUGGAGUCAUAUUUAGGGUUUUUUUUUCUUGUUUUAUUUUCCCUUUAAAAUAAAAAUAAAAUAAGUAGCGGCUUCAACUUUUUUUUAAAAAUUAAUUUUUCACAAAUAAAAAACGAGUCUCGCCGAUCGAGUGGGGGUGCACGUGAAAAAUGCGGGUCAUACAACCCCACUUGCUUUUCUCACGAUUUUAGCAAGACAUUAGUGGUUGAAUCUUUGUCCGUACAUGGCUGCUUUAUCAUCAGCCGCCCUAUGGUUUGUAGUGAUAAAUUGAUAACAUGCGGUUUGUGUACACGGCUUUAGCAAGAAAAAGGAGGAAAAUUCCACGUGGAAGUUCAUUUUUUGCCAGAAAGUCAAGCGACGACUCCACUAGUCUCCGUUGGGUGCGUUUGGUAUUUCAAGAUUAGGUACGGAUGAUCUUAUCCAACGAUUCCAACCAUCCUCCCUUUAUUUAAAAUAAGUUUUAUUCAUGUUUAAUCGAAAAAAUUAAAUAGUACCCAUCCUUUAACUUUUUUCUGAAAAUUUUUUAAAUUUUUUCACAAAAAUUUAUUUUUAAAAUUUUUUAAUUACAUUAAAAUAAGUAAACUUUAUAAAUAAUUAAAAUAUUAUAAAUUUUUAUAACUUAUUUUAUUAAAAAGCAUUUAUUAUUAUUAUUAUUAUUAUUAUUAUUAUUAUUAUUAUUAUAUUAAAAAUAAGAAAAUACAAAUUAAAUUAAAUUAAUUUUUAAAGUCAAUUAUUUGUCAUCCCUGUUUAAGCUCAAUAUGGAGUUGAUGAGUGUACUUAAUUGUAUACCAUAUGUAUUUAUUACCAAUAAAAGUUUCUUAAGUAUGAUUGAAUGAAAAAGAAUUUCUACCAUAACAAAUACUUUCCUAACUUUAUAUUAAGGUUAUGUUGAAUUCCCAAAAUGUAUCAAAGAAAGAAAAAAUAUUAAGCAAAAUUAUUUUCUCAUUUUGUUGUGAUAUGAAAAAUAUAAAUAAAAAAGAUUCGAAUAUAAUUAAUACUAGUUACAAACUUAUACAUUUUCAAAUUAGUUAAUUUUUACAUUGAUAGGUUAAAAUAAAUUAAAUAAAUUUACAAUAGCAAAUAAUAUAUAAUUUGUUGACUUUGAAUCCAAUCUUUAUUUUUCUUCACUUUUUCUUUUCUUCUAUUUUUUCCCUUACAUUUUUUUUCAAAUUUUUUUAAAACCAAACAUAGUCUAAGAAUUCUUUCUUAGAGAAAAUGUAUUAUAAUAAAAUUAUUUAAAUAAGUUAUAAAAAUAUUGCUUCUUGUUGAAUGUUUAUCAUGACUUAAACCAAAAGUUGCUACUGAUUUGAAACUCAAUAUCACUAGCUCUUUCAAAUCUAUAAAAUUUGAAUUUUACGAGUGAAUUUUAAUUGUGGAUUAUAGCUAACAAAGAGUAAACCAAUGUUAUAAAAAUCUCAAAGAGUACCUCACAAUUUUAAUAUUCUCCGUUUUUCUCUUAAUUUUUUAGCAAAUACAUAAGAAACAUGCAAGGGAAAUCGUUGUUCUAAUAUGGACUUAUUUACAAAUAUGAAAUUCAUGCUCUAACUAUAUUAAAAGAAAAAUAUAAAGAAAAUUAGAGAUACAAAAACACAAUAAUAUAAUGUGGAAAUCUUUGAAGAGAUUAAAAAAAAUGCACAAAAUUUACUAUAAAAAAAAUACUAAAUACAAAUUUUACUUCAUCGAAUACUUUUAAUCCCUCUCAUGGACUACUUGAAACUUUACUUCUCAGUUUUUCAUAUAGAACUCUUUGGAAUCCUUCUAAACAUGAUUUUGGCUUAUUCCUAAUAAAGACUCUUAGUUUGACAUUAGUCAUUUUGGUACAAGCAAGUAAAUGCUCGAUGUAUCAACAUUGGGAGAAAAGGAGCUCAUGUUCAUACGGAACAACCUCCACACGAAGAAAAUAGUCAAAAGGUCCAAGGUCCUUAAGAGAAAACCGUUGGGUUUCUGUGAAAAGGUUGUGUUAUUUAUGCAGUACUUCUAACCAUAGACUCCUCAUUCACAAUAACUCUUACCAUUUCGCUUCAUGCCUUCUCUGAUGUAAAUUGGGCUAGUAAUAAGGAUGGCUUCACUUCAACAAAGUGAGUGUUUAUAUUGUUUAUCUGGGUCGCAAUCUCAUCUUAUGGAGUAAUAAGAAACAGUGUAUUAUUGUUUGUUCCUCUGCAGGAGCUGAAUAUAGGUCGAUGGCUACUACAAUUAUCAAAAUCAAUUAGGUGUGCUCUCUUCUCACUAAGCUUAGCAUUCAGCUUCCCCAAGCACUUGGGAUUUAUUGUGACAAUGUUAGUGAUAUUCAUGUUAACCAAACAUUUAUAAACUUUAUGCGGAAAUAAUUAUUUUAAAAACAAUUUUGGAUGCAUAAAACAAAAUAAAUGUAAGUACUAAAAUAAUGAUCAUAUUCUUACCUUGAUCCAUGAUACCAAUAACACUUUUAAAGUGAGAUUGAGUCACCUUGUGAAUUGGAUUGUCAAGGUUUUCAACUUACUACUCUCAUAUAAUGGAUGGGUCACUUGUGUGGUGUAUGUUGUUAAAAAUAAAACAACAAAAAAGACAUGAGAAUGAGAGUGUGGCUUGGGACCUCAACUUAUAAAAAAUUGUGCAUCUCUUAGUCUUCCCAUCAAAGACUAUAUGGGAGUUAUACUCAUUAUUUACACCCAUUAUGUACAAAUUAAUGGGUAAUGGUGGGUUAUUAACUUGAAUGCAUCUCUAUAAUUGCAUAGGUUAUACUUUUCCAUUUUCUUCCAUUACUCAUAAACAGAAUGUACCAAAUAAAUUUCAUAAUGAUGGGGUUACAAAAGUUGUAACACCACAUUCAUAUAAAUUAAAUUUUCUAACUCCCUAUUUUUAAUUUGAGUCUUUCAUACAUAAGACUCUUUAAUGCUCAAUCAAUUGAUUCACCUACCUAUCAAUUGAUACCCUUAAAUAAUAUUUACAAUGGUCACACAUUAUAGGAAAAAAACUAACAAUCUCACACUUGGCCUACAUAAUUAUAUUUGUAAUAGAUUAAAACAUAAUGUGGUCAUAACAAUUUCUCAAAAAUAAGCAUCCCUUACGUUAAGAUUAUGUUUCAUGGAACCACUAACACCAACUCAUUGAAAUGAUUGGAUCACAAAACGAUCCAAUAUUCUUCAAGGAUUAUAGUACUAGCACCUCCGUUAACAUGAAUCAAUGACUUUUAUGACAUUAGCAACAUUAAGGUGAUAAUGCUAAUUCAUUCACAUAAUGGUCCCAUCAACUUUUAAACAUUUAGAUUGUGCACAAAAUGGAUGUAUAAAAGUAACAUAAUAAUCAUCAAUAUAUCAUAAUCAAAAACUUUAUUCUCAUUAUAAUGUGAUCACAUACAUUACACUCUCAAUCAAUCUAAAAUUGACAAACUUGCCACCAAGCCCAUGCGCGCAACAUGAUCCAUAAAAAGCUUAGGUAGAAGACCUUUUGUCAAUGGAUCUACCAACAUGAGUGUAUUUUUAAUAUGUUCAAUAGAGACAACUCCAUUUUGAACUUUCUCCCUUACAACCAGAUACUUAAUAUCAAUGUGCUUCAUAGUAGGCAAUGUGAGAAAAUUACCUUCUUCCUUCUGUUUAAUUUCUGAAGAAUGAUGUGCAGAAGCCUUCGACCUUGGCUCUUCCUCAGACUCACUAUCAUCAGGGCUUGCUUCUCCAUAAUAUGCCAAGAGUGAUGUUUCCUGAUCAAAAACUUUUUUAUAACGUUUUCCUGGUACCAUCCAAUGUGAUGUUGGGUCAAUUUGAUCAUAAGGUACUGUCUCUCCAGAUCUCGGUUGUGAGAGCUAGGGAAUACUUCCACUAUCAUAUUCGAAAGGUUCAACAUAUUUAAGCAUUUCAUCCAUGACUUGAACAGGCCAGGUGUGCUUUUCUUUCUUCUCUUUUAUCUUAUUUAUGUCUUGACCCUGUCCACCACAAUAAAACACAACAUACAUUGAACCAAUAUUAGCACUUUGGAUAUGAACAGAAUAUGUGCAUAUCAUUCUAGUGUGUACAUAUAUAUAUAUGGUGAUCAUACCAACUAUAACAGCCGGCAAUGCCCAUACUUUAGCUAUAAGCUUGAUGAAGUUCUCAUAGCAAAUGCCAUAAUAAUUUGGAUGAGGCUGCUCUUGUCUUCGAGCGUUAUUUGAUUAUUUACCUGUAAAUUAAAAAGAGGUUUGGAGUAUUCUCAGAGCAAGACUCUUACACUAGUGUUCAUUUGGGAUAUAAGUAGCACACAAAUUGAGAACCCAAAAAAUAAAUAAAUAAAGGUUCUCAAAAGAAAACAUUUAUGGACUAAUUAAACUUGGUUGAUUAGGUGAUACAAGCAAGAAAUUUAUUGGAAGAUAUAUCUCAAGCUCAAUAAAUUAAUGAUUUAAUUUGUACUCAAUAAAUUUAUGGUUCUAAAAAAAAGUGCUCAAUCAAUUAAAGUUUAACCAGAUUGUCUAGAAUUGAACUUUUCAUCCUAAUUUGCUCUUGAGCUGAAUUCAAGAAGGUUCUGGAUUUACUUAUUAGCCCAAUGCAAAUUCAUGAGUAACUAUCUGGUCGAAGUCUCAUAUGCAUAACUAAAAUGAUGAAUUAAUAUGGGAAUCACUUAACCCACCUGAUGCUUUGAUCAUGUUCCAUAAGUUGGUUAAUAUAUAGAAAUUCUCUGUAUGGUUAGGGUUCUCGGCAGCUUCAUAUUUCUGUGGAAGGAGCUUUUUGACAGGCACACCUUGCAAAAUAACAUUGGAAUGAAACAUUUUCACAUAGUAAACUAAUACAUGAUUGCCCUAAAAUUAUCCUACAAAAACCUUCAUUGAAAAAUAGAUAUGGGAUUCUCAAUUGCUUCAAGGCAAGUGAUUUAUGGAUGUGCUUCUCUCACGCACACCCUAGGCUAGAUUUGUGAAUAAAAACUGUUAUUAUAAUAUAGUUUAGAUUAUUAUAUAAAUUACAGGUAAAUAAUGACUUAGGAUAAUGGGGUAGAUGACUUUAAACAAUAAAUAUCAAACAUAGAGCAUGAAGUAGAUCUGCAUCAGGCAUUGAUCGGCUGGCUGUCGUCACUGGCCCUGAAAAUUAGAUAUCAAAACCUGUGGGCAGCCCUAGGUUCCAAUUCAGCGACUCCUAUGUCACAACUUUACAAGUUUAUUGGAAAUCCUUUAGUCAGUGGAAGGAUACUUACAAAGAUAAAUGAUUUCGUUGAACCAAUUCAGUCGAGUUCCGCUUCUGAAUAAAGUAGCCUUAGAAGCAAGGAGGUGGAGAGGGGAGAUUCCUCUCUCAUCGACAUAAUUGACGAGGUCAGGAUACUCGUGAAUAAUUGUAAAUGCCAAAUCUAUCAUGCACAACAAUGAAAAUGUUAUAUAAAUAAAAGCAUGAGCCUUUCGUUAUAUAUAUAUAUAUAUAUCAAUUGGUCAAUUCUGUUGAAAUGAUAACAUUAUAACAAAUGUAUAAAACACAAAUGAAAAUAGAAAAUAUGUUACCCUAAGUUAUAAGGCAUGAAGCAAAUAGAUUAUCUAUUCCUAUCGAUGUUCAGAUGAAUGAAUAGAAAACAAUAAAUAGGGCCUGAAAGCAUUGCUCACCGAAGUAUUCUCCGGUGAUGGCACAGUGAAGACUAUUUUCUCCAUCACUCCUCCGAAGGUACUCAUACACUUUGUUGUUAGCAGUACUGCUACAUAUGUUAGAGAGGCAAAGGAAAGCGUCUUUCAUACCAUGGAGAGCUGCUAAGAAGAGAGGGGUCUCAUUUUCAUUGUUGCGAACACCCACCAGUUCUGGAUACUCAGCAGCUAUGCACUUGCACAUGCGAACGUUGCCUACUGACGCCGCCAAAUGGAGAGGGGUGUUCCCUCGAUCAUUUUUUAUAUUAAUCAGAUACACGUUGCGAUGGGCCAUCAGUUGGACUAGUUUUACCACUACAUCUUCUCUGCCAUCUGAUACUGCUAUAUGCAAUGCCGUGUCCCCUGAUGUAGCGGUCUUCUCAUCAUGAGCCCACGGAUCUUCCUUGCAUAUAUCUACAACUUUUUCCCAUUUCCCUUGCAUGGCAUAUGAAAUCAAGCUUGGUCCAGUGGCCCCUUGUUCUGUGUCCACGACAAAUGCCAUUCUUCCUCUUCUUAGAACAACUACUACUGUUCUAUUGCUGAAGGUACCAAGGAUGAUUAUUGUAUAUGUAGAGCAAACAAGCUGUCCCAACUGUGGCAAGCCACCAUAAACUGAAAGUGAUACCUUGCUCUGGAUUCGGGAUGAGCACAAUUUUAUGGACCCCAAAAAGAGAACAUCCAUGUUUCAUUAUCCUCUUAACUAUCAUAUUUUAAAAUUUUAUUUAGAAAAUUUGAAAAAAUAAAAAUGGGAUAUUUAAAACGCAUCAAAUUACUUUUUAAUUGUGAAUGACUCAUUCAAUUAUAAUACUGAUGAAUAAAGUAAAGCUAAACUCUUGCACAGAAGGACAUUCUUUUCAAUGAAUUCAAGGAAAGAAUAAUUGAGGAAUAAAGUAAAAUCUAGUGAGAGGAUCUCUAUCUGGCAACAAAAACUCAAGGAAAGUAUCAUCUUGAGGAAAUUAAAAUAAAGAAAAGAAUAAAUAAUGAGUAAAAUAAGAGAAAAAUUAUUUUGAGAUUAAUUAAAAUUUUGAAAAAUGAAAGAGAUGUGUUUUUGCAUAUAAACAUUUCAACAAUUGAAAACCAAUAAGCCACGAUGGCUGAAAUAAGGCUACAUAAAAUCAUGCAAAAAGAUGAUGGUUUUCAAUAAACCAACUCAAGGGAGCACUGUAUCUAUCUAGGAAUGAAGUUAAAUCUGUGCUAAUAGAGAUUUUUCUCAACUAGCGCAAGAAAAGCAUAAGGAAAAACUCAAAACACAUAUAUUCAUACCUAAAAAAAUAAAUAAAUAAAUCCCUGAUCUUCCUUUUCCCUGGGGCAUCUUGCUUUUUGUAAGCAAGGUUUAUAAUGGCUCAAUUCAAUUGUAACCACAAAUUCAAUAGUCCAUCAUAUCAUUUAAUCACAUAACAUUUAAUAUAGAAGAAGACACUUGUACAUAAACUUAAUAUCAAUAAAAUCUCUUCUCACCAUCACUAAGAAGAAACCACCCGCUAAAACAUGGAAUCCACAAGCCCAAAACAACGAAGUCAAAUCUAUGUAAGGCAAAACAUUAGAGAGGAGCCACCUUGUAGCUUCGCUGUGGCACCUUCUUAAAAGUGGCCCACAUAAGAUCGAAGUACAGAGGAAACUGUGCCACGGCAAAGAAGAUUACUGGAAGGCAGGUUACUGCAUAUACAAGAAUGGCAGUGUAUUGCAGUUUAUCCAUAAGGACAAAGUAAUGUCCGGCACAGAAAGAGAUUAGCAUCGAAGCUAUGGACACAAAGAGCGAUGUCAAGCCUACUAGAAGUUUCCUUGGCAAGUAGAUGCGAAAAUCUCUCUCUUGGUAUCGAGAGGUUAGAAUGGCAAGAAACAUGAUCACAGCAUUGACUGAGAAACAAAGCGCAACAAGAGAAGAUAUGGCAAAAAUGUCAAAUGCCGGCUCGUCUUCUAGCGUCGGUGUUCCAACUUUUUCUUUCACCCCACCUGGCACAGUGGAAGACGUUGCAAAGGCCACGGUUGCAAUGAGGGCUGCCACCACGGAGCAUGACUCAGAGGUUUUGAACAGCCAUUCACCACCAGCUUGGACAAGAUCCAUGUGUUUCUCGGUGAAGAUAUCCUUUGCAGUCUCACCCUUCUGGUUGCAGCGUACAAAGAAAUGUUGUGGCACGGACCUCUUAACAAACUGCAUAGUUCAAAGUUCAAAUUAACAAGGAAAAGGAAGAGUUCUUCAUAAGUUUCUCCAUCCGUUUUCUUUUUUUCUAUAUAGCAAUAUAUCAUAUAAUUUUACAAAAUUAAAAACAUUUACGCAUUUUGUCUGAUCAUAACUUUAAAUAUUCUAAUUAAUUUUCUUAAGAAUCUGGUAUUACUCGAUUAUCUAGAAUGAUGCAGCCAACAGAAUGUAAACUUCUGAACCUCACAUUGUUCAGGCAAGCAUUUCAACCACAAUUAGUAGUGUCCCUGAGAGUAGCAGGUUUAGGGUUUAAUCCUUCUACCCCAAUAUAUCGUACCCUUCAGUUCUUAUGGUCUACACCAUUUAAAAUGGAAAGUUAAUGCUGAAAUCAUAAUGGAUAAUUGCAUACCUCGUACCACUUUAUUUCCCACUGCAUCUGCAAAGCGGCACCAGGUAUAAGCCAAGGCUUAUUCUCUCCAAGCAUUGCAGCCAGAUGUAGUGCACUAUUGCCAUCUAUGUCCACGUGCCGAAACACGGCGUCUUUGAGGACUUUUCUUUUGACUAACAGCUCAUAAACAUGGGGUUGCCUGUACUCCACUGCCAACAACACAAUGUUCUUUUUUUGGUAAUCCUUGUCAUGGAUGGCCACUGGAAAAAGUUCUAGAAUUCUCUCCACAAUUUCCACCACACCAUUCUUUGCUGCAACUAAUAAGGGUGUCUCUUUUCUCUCCAUUUCCGAUGGUUUCUUCUUAUCUGCCAACAUCAGAUGAUUAAAUUUUAUUUAUUAAGAAAUUCUGACCACAUAAUGGAUGACAAGUAUUCGAUCAAAGAUAAAACUCUUGCCAAGAAUAAAUAUAAUUGCUAGAGAUAACUGUUACCUUGUUCAUUUUUCUUAUUUUUACCAUUGUCAUUCUGUUUUCGCUGAGCUUCUGGUGAGCUUUGAUCUGCGGGAGCUCCUUUAUCUUCACCCUGUUGAUUAGUUGCUGAAGAAGGUUGAGCUGCUGUGCCUCCCGGUAGAUGCUGACUUUCUAAGGUGUUGUCAAAAGAAACACCAUGAUCAUCCGAGAUGCUAUAAGGUGUUGUGUCAGCAUCCUUCUUCUGUGAUGGUUGUUGAGGAUUUCUUCCAUUAUCUUCGUACUCAUAAAAAGAAGCAUGACAAAGAAGUUCAUCCA